ACGCACAAGGGCGGCGACGACAGAAGCUAUAAUUGUGUCUCACAACAAGAAGAUGAGUCCAAAAGAAUUGGAGUCAAAAUCUCAAAAGACCUGAUGGCCGUUGCUGGAGAAGCCCUUAAAACUAAUAUUACCACACUCGGACCGUUAGUUCUACCAAUGUCUGAGCAGCUCUUGUUUACCGCAACUUUAGUUGCGAGAAAGAUCUUUAAAAUGAAAAUCAAGCCCUAUAUUCCCGAUUUCAAGUUGGCUUUUGAGCAUUUCUGCGUCCAUGCUGGAGGGAGAGCUGUGCUGGAUGAGGUAGAGAAGCAUCUCAAACUCAAUGAAUGGGUUAUGGAGCCUUCAAGAAUGACUCUCUACAGAUUUGGGAACACUUCAAGCAGUUGUUUGUGGUAUGAAUUGGCUUACUUUGAGGCCAAGGGAAGAAUUCGGAAAGGUGACAAGACUUGGCAGAUAGCAUUUGGAUCAGGAUUCAAGUGCAACAGUGCUGUGUGGCGUGCAUUGAAGACUAUCAAUCCUGCUCAUGAGAAGAAUCCUUGGAUGGAUGAAAUUGAUAACUUUCCAGUUCAUGUGCCAAAAGUUACGCCAAUUGAUUUUUAAUGGUUGGACGUUGGGGACGUUUAUGCACGUUUAGCAACUAUUUAUAUAUAAUAUUGCUGUAAUAAUUAAUGCUGCGGUCUUAGAGAAGUGGUAUAUCUCUUUCGCGGUUAAUUAGUAGAAUGCAUGUAGAAUUUUAAAUUUCAAUAAUUAUAAGAUAUCUCUUCCUUAAUUAAGUGGUCGAGUAUCAUGUUGACGGGUUGAUCAAAUUGUGAUUGACACUGGGAAAUUCUAAAACAAUAUUUAUAGGAAAAUGUCAACUCCACUCUUAUUGUUAUUCAAAGCGGCUCGAAGCCUCGAAGACUAAUUUUGAAAAGAAAAUAACUUAAAAGGAACAUAUCAAUCACCAAGAUCUUGAUUCCGGAACUUCAAUAUCAGAGAUCUUUAGGAUCCUAAAGUGAUCUUUAAUUGAUCCUAUGAUCCCCUUGCGGAUAUUGGUUGAGAGUCCUUAAACCUGUGGAAGUUAAUUGCUGUAUAUAUCGAUGAUGGGGUUUUGGAGGCAAUACAUAAAAGAGUAAAAUCCUUUUUUUUUUUUGUUAACGUAUUCUCUUAAAAAAAAAUUCGAAAACCAUCAACUCCACUUCUGCCAUCAUAGAGGAAAAUGAUAUUAAAAAUUAAAAAAAAAAAGAGAUUGGGAAUAUAGAUAAAUCCUUGAAAUUGAAGUUUUUUUACUAAAUCAAAGAGAUGACUUUCUAAGUGUCUGUUUGGUAUGAUUUAUUUAAUGGUCAUAAGUGCUUAUUUAAUCUCAUAAGCUCUUAUUAUAAUUUUUGUUGUUAUUUAGUUGUUUUUCUAAUAGAGAAUUUGAAGCUUAAAUAAGCUAUUUUACCUCUACUAGCAAAAUCUCAAAUUUUGAACUUUUGAGAGUAGAUAUUGAAAAGUUUUUUUUUUUUAAAUGUCAAAAUAUCUAAAAUAUCAUCUACUUAUUUAACAAUCAUAUUUAUUGUUUUCAUAAUAUAACUUUAAAAAACUUGCCUAUUAAACUAGUUUCAUAAUUUUUUAAUAAAAUCUCUUAUUGACAAUCAAACAACUAAAUUUUUUUUAGUAAAAGCUCUACUUAAAUAAGUUUUACUUAAAAUGGAACCUAAACAAAAGAAUUCCUCCACAAGUUCAAAGUCAAGAUAGAAUACUUCAAUUUGAAUAUUUGAUUGAGAAAUAUUAAAAGAAGGCAAAUGCUAUGUUACAUGAAAUAUAACAUACACACUCCACAACAACCACACAAAUUGUGUGGGCCAAUUAUUUGUGUGGUUGCUGUGGAGUGUGUAUGUUACAUUUAAUGUAACAUAGGGGCUACCUUAAAAGAAUGACUUUGUAUAUGAAAGAAUUCCUUAAAUUGCUCGAUUCCCAAAUCAAAUACACCAACGCCGCUACGCCCAAACCAUGGACGACAGCCCUGAUUCGCCGCCAUUCAAGUUGAAGAUGUUAGAGAUUUUAGCCACUUUUACCUAAGAACUGCGUCUUCGAUUCAACUCUCUGCUCAUGUCCCGAACCCCCCAUCUUUUAUUGCCCCGAUCCGCUAGUGUAUGAGGAGUUAGAGCUUGUGCUAUAUAGAAAUUUACCUGAGGGCUUUGACGUCACGAAAGGCGAUCAAAUCAUGGACAAUUGCCCUCCAGACGAGCUUGGGCCAAAACCAGAACCAGAUGAACAUGAUAAUUGCCGUAAAUAUAUGAGGACUACGACUUCCCAGAAGGCCACCAAAAUCACGCACACCCCAAUCCAUACAUCUACCGACUCGCCGCAGGUCUUUUGCUGGGUCCACUAUCAGCCAAAAGGCCUACACCCACCGCUAUUCCCCGAAUCGUCACCACCAUCCCCCGAUGCGUCUCCUCUUAUAGAUUCAAUUUUCUAGCAUGCACCAACAGAAUGGGGAAGUGAUAUGAAAAGGCAGGAAGAUUUGGAGGGUAUGAAAACUGCAUUCAUCGGAUAUAAUGCUUCGUUCAGAGAACAAACUCCCCCUAACAUACAACUCAAACCUCUCAAUGACGAGACUCCCAUGCCUGCACACAAAAGCGUACUCGCUACAAGAUCAAAAAUCUUAGCCAUGCCAAAUUUAGAUGGAUCAUAUGGACGUGGUGGGAUGGUCAAACUUCCUGAGAGCCAUGAAGAGCUUGAGCCUCUUCUAGAGUUUCUUUACGUUGGGAGCUUGCCUGAGGAGAAGAUGCAGAAACAUAUUAUGACAUUAUUUAAGGCAGCUUACAAGUAUGAAAUCUGGUACUUGUGGGAGUUGUGCGCCAUAGCCUUUCGUCUUUAACUCAUCAAAUGAUCUUGAGGUUUUAUAUUUAGCAUAUUGUUGUAGACAUAAAGCAUUGUUGGAGGCUGCAUUGAAGUUGAUUGUUGAAGAGGCGCAGGAGCGCAUAUGCUGUGAGGAAUUUGUAGACUUUGCAAACAAGUAUCCGCUUAUGCUUAAGAUGGUUAGAAUGGCAUUGGUUGUGUGUCACAAAACCUGAAGAGUUUCUGGAGUCUGAUUAAUUGUGAGAGAGUGUACGGUUUUGUGUUAAGUUAUUGCUUGAUCGAUGAAAAUCUUUUAUUUUUGUUUUGGUCGUAUUAACAAAUACUUCUAUUUCAGACUAUGUUAUGUUAUAUUUCCAUCUAUCUCUUGAAUCGGGAUGGUUAUUUUUCCUUCUUUAGGCGUCGGGAUAGUUGUUCCCUUGAAAUCUUAAUUUGUGAUGGUUGUGCUUGUUUUUGUGUUUCUUUUUGGUGAACAAGCAUUCUCGUGUUAACAAAUACUUUUGUUUUAGACUGUUAUGUUAUGUUUCCAUUCGAAAAAAAAAUGAAAGAAUUCCUUGAUAAUAUCAAAAAACUAACUUUAUGAUUUGUUAUGGUUAAAAGAAUAUGUACACGAAAGAUUAGAUAAUUCAAAUGAAUGACUCCUUAAUUUAUUUCAUGACACUAUAAAGAGACGAGAAUCAAAGAUUUUUAAUGUCUUAUUAUAAAGAUUGAUUUUCAGUAACAUAAAAAUUUGUUGAAUAAAUAUCCACUAAUCAAUCCAAUUGUAUCAAUUUUUUUUUUAUUUUUUUUUGUGUAGUUUCAAUCAAGGGUGGAGGCCAUAUAAGAUUAGAAGGUGCCAUGGCCCUUGCAGAAUUUUAAAAAUUUUUAGGGUUAAUUUAUAAAUAAAAUAUGAAAAGCUUGUGUAAAACGUCCAUAUUGGCCCAUGUACAAUUAAUGUAUACAGUUUAUAUAUUAAAUAAUAUUGUAAUUUUACUGUUAAGCCCAUCAAUGAUAGCAUCAAAAUAGUAAAAAACAAAUCAGCCAAACCCAUUGAAGCCCACUAAAUCACUAAUAUAUAAUAACAUAAAAAUUGGAAGUUUAAAUUUAGCCCCGUAGAGUUGUCUUGUCUUUAGGGCAAGUAUGUUGUUGUCUUGUCUUUAGGGCAAGUUGAGAAUUUUUUCGUUUCUAUAACAGGUUAUUGGCUGCGGCUUUCGAGAACUUGUAAUGGCUACAAACGUUGAAACACUGGAUCCCACUGUCAAUAGUGACUAUGCUAAUAUGUCCAUAGAAGAGGAGGAGGAGGGAGGUUUGGUAGUCACAGGGGAUGAGGGGGACGAUGGUGGGCAAGGAAAAAUCGAUCUCCGCUUUUGCUUGGUUGGCAGGUUUCUUACGGACAAAGUAAUCAAUUUUGCUGCCAUGAAGAAUACAAUGGCGUCGUUGUGGCGUCCGGGCAAAGGAGUGUGCAUCAAAGAUCUAUCACCAACACUAUUCCUCUUCCAAUUUUUUCAUGAAAUUGAUAUUAAUAGGGUGUUGGAAUCGGGGCCAUGGACUUUUGAUCAACAUAUUCUGCUCGUCAAGCGUUUGGAGGAAGAUGAGCAACCACAAAAUAUUCCUUUAUUUUCUACUUCCUUCUGGAUACAGAUUUAUAAUCUACCAAUUGGAUUUAUGUCGGAGAAAAUUUUAAAAGACAUUGGGAAUUAUAUUGGUAUUUUUUUGGUUUCGGAUGAGAAUAAUUUAAUGGGGGUCUGGCGUAAUUAUAUGCGCAUUCGUGUCUCGAUGGAUGUUCGGAAACCUCUUAAGCGUAGGAUGAAACUGAAAAAAGCAGGCGGUGAUUGGAUUUGGGUUGAUUUUAAGUAUGAGAGACUCAAUAUUUUCUGCUUUACCUGUGGCUUGCUUGGCCAUACUGCCCAGCAAUGCCCCAAACUAUAUGAUUGCCCGCAAAGUGAAAUUGUGCCUGUUUAUGGCCAUUGGUUGAAGGCGCCAACUAGGAGAAAUGUGAUGAACUCCGGCGAAAGGUGGCUGCGCCAGGGACCACUGGAGACUGUGGAGACUAGUAAAGGAAAGAGCAAGGAUCACGUUGUUGCCAUGUCAGUGGAUUCGGGAAAUAUCAUAAAAUAUGGAGUUGCUUUCUCAAAGCCUAUUAUUGCUGGCGUAGAUAUGGGAAAUAUGGCCCUCAAUAUGGGAACUGAUAAUAAGCUGCCAAAUGGGAUGCAAUUAAAAGAGAAGCCAAAUAAUGGGACAGCUGUUGUUGUGGACGAGGAUAUGGAAGGUGAGGAGAUUUUGGAAACUGGCCUAAUUGUUAAUGAUUUAAAAAGAAGAAGAUCUGUAACAGGGCUCCAUAUUACUAUGGGCCUAGGUGAGGAAUUUUCAGCAAAGAGUGACACUCUUGCUGAAGGAAAAAAUGGACCAGCGGUGGGACUUGUAAUUCAGGCCCACCGAACUCAAUGAGUAUCUUGAGUUGGAACUGCCGUGGGUUGGGCCACCCGCGGACAGUUCAAGUGUUGGUGGAUUUGGUCCGCAAUAAGAGGCCUUGUUUUGUGUUUUUAAUUGAAACUUUAUGUAAUAAAAAUAGAUUAGAGCAAAUAAAAACGAAGAUUGGUUUUGAUGGGCUGUUGGUUGUGGAUAGAGUGGGCCGUGGGGGAGGGCUUGCUUUCUUAUGGAAAUCAGCUUGCGAGGUUACCUUACUCAGCUAUGGUCAGAACUACAUUGAUACAGAAGUGGAGGUUGUUGAUUUGGGACGGUGGAGAAUUACGGGAUUUUAUGGAUUCCCAGAAUCUAGCCGACGUCGGGCUUCUUGGAACCUUCUACAUUCGUUGUCUAAUUCUUCCUCUUUGCCGUGGGUUUGUAUAGGCGAUUUCAAUGACUUGUUGGCUGCUAACGAAAAACGCGGGCAACAUGAACACCCAAGAUGGAAGCUGGAGGGUUUCAAUAAGGCCAUUGAAGAUUGUGGUUUGGCUGAUCUUGGAAUGGAGGGGUAUCAGUUCACUUGGGAAAGAGCUCGGGGCACUGACAAUUGGGUUGAGGAAAGGCUUGAUCGGGCUUUUGCUACUAAUAGCUCGUUUCGUCAGUUUCAUCGUGCAAGGGUGUGUAGUUUGGAAGCUGCUGGCUCCGAUCAUCUGCCAAUCUUACUGGACCCCAACCCACAAGCCUAUGUGUACAGGUACCACCGCUUUCGAUUUGAAAAUUUAUGGCUGCGUGAAGCUGGGUGUAGUGAGGUGAUUCGCUCUAGUUGGGUUUCCUCUGACGAGAGUUUGAUUCAGCGAAAGAUUGAAGAGUGUGGCUCUGCUUUGCUGGUUUGGGGAGGGCAAUUAGCUCGUGACUUUCAUAAAAGAAAAUUGGAUUGUAAACAGCAAAUGGCUUUAUUAAGAGGGAGGCGUGACGCGGCUGGAGUAACUGCUUUCACUGAGACAAGAAACAGAUAUAAUGAGCUCCUCCAUUGUCAUGAGGUCUUUUGGAAGCAGAGAUCGAAGGCUCUUUGGUUAAAGGAAGGGGAUCGAAAUACGCGCUAUUUCCAUACCUCGGCAUCAACAAGAAAAUAGAGGAAUUCACUCGGAGCUAUUCGAAAUAAUCAAGGUCAGUGGAUUUCUAAUUCGAAUGAAAUUGAUUCGAAGAUUGUUGAGUAUUUUGGUAAUUUAUUUAAAUCAAAUGGUUUGGAUAAUAAUGAUAUGUUUCGGUGUGUGGAGAGGAGGAUUACCACUGAGCAGAAUGAGUUACUUUUGGCUCUAUUUUCUGAUUCUGAAGUUAAGAAUGCUAUUUUUGAUAUGAAUCCGGACAAAUCACCAGGUCCAGAUGGCAUGAAUCCGGCUUUUUACCAAAAAUUCUGGCACAUUGUUGGUAAGGAUGUGGUAGCGGCUUGCCUGUCAUUUAUUAAUGAUGUUUCUUUCCCUAUGUGUCUGAAUGAUACUUCGAUUGUUCUUAUUCCAAAGAAACAACGGCCUGAGACUCUAGCGGAUAUGAGACCAAUCGCUCUCUGUAAUGUGCUGUACAAGAUUGUCUCCAAGAUGCUUGCCAACCGAAUGAAAUCAGUGCUGGAUUCAGUCGUCUCGGAAGCUCAGAGUGCAUUUGUGCCAGGUCGUGCAAUCACCGAUAAUAUAAUUGUUUCGGCAGAAAUCAUGCACUUCUUGAAAAGGAAGAGGCAAGGAAAGCAUGGUGUCGCAGCUCUAAAGAUCGAUAUGUCCAAAGCAUAUGAUCGAUUAGAGUGGGGUUAUCUCCAGGAGAUGAUGCUGAAAAUGGGUUUUGAUGCUAGAUGGGUGAACCUUAUCAUGCUUUGUGUGACAACAGUUCGGUACAAGGUGUUGCGUGAAAAUAAGGAAGUGGGACCAAUCAUACCAAGUAGGGGUCUUCGUCAAGGUGAUCCAUUGUCGCCGUAUCUGUUUAUUUUAUGUGCAGAAGGACUUAGUUCUUUAAUCAAGAGCCAAGAAAGGGUUGGUCUAAUUCAUGGGGUGAGGGUUGCUCGCAGUGCCCCAGUAGUGACGCACUUAUUUUUCGCUGAUGACAGUUUCUUGUUUUUUAGAGCUAAUCAGGCUGAAGCUUUGGUUGUCAAACAGAUAUUGGAGACUUAUGGAUGUGCUUCUGGUCAACUGAUAAAUUUCUCAAAAUCAUCCAUUUCCUUUAGUGCUAAUGUGCAGGAACGUGCUGUUAGCCAGAUUUGUGGAACCUUGGAUGUCAAUGCUACGGAAGAUCAUGGAACUUACCUCGGACUUCCAUCUAAUAUUGGGCGGAAAAAGAAGGCUGUGUUUUCUUAUAUUCGGGACAAAGUCAGAAAGAGACUUCAAGGUUGGCAAUCCAAACUGUUGUCUCGAGCUGGGAAGGAGAUAUUACUGAAAACAGUGGCCCAGGCAAUGCCUAACUACGCCAUGAACGUCUAUCUACUACCUCACUAAAAUCAGGGGGGGCAGAGGAAUUUCUUGGAUGAGAUGGGAACAUUUAUGUAAACCAAAGGACUUUGGGGGAAUGGGUUUCAAACAGCUACACACUUUCAAUAUUGCGAUGCUUGGUAAACAGGUCUGGAAGCUUCUUACAAGACCUGAAUCGCUGGUUGCUAAAACCUUAAAAGCUCGCUAUUUUCCGAGAACAUCUGUAAAUGAAGCUAAGUUGGGGCAUAAUCCAAGUUUUGUGUGGCGAUCCAUUGUCGCUACAAAGGAUGUUGUGGUUAGCGGGAGCCGCAUACAAAUUGGACAUGGGCAGCAGGUGUUAAUAGGCCAAGAUCCUUGGCUGCCGGAUACAAAUAAUGGUUUUAUCACAUCUCGGAUACAUGAGGAGCUGGCUGUUGCGAAGGUAAGUAGUCUGAUGGUGCCAAAUCAAAGAAGCUGGGAUUUAGAUCUCCUUGCUGACAUUUUCAAUAAGAGAGAUAGAGAGCUGAUCCUUCAAAUUCCUCUUAGUCAACGUCGAGAGUCUGAUGUAUGGUAUUGGCUUCAUGAUCCGUGUGGUGUUUAUUCAGUUCGCAGCUGUUAUAAGUUGUUAACUCAUCGGGACAGCGACUCUUCUACUCGUGUUUGGAGAUCAUUAUGGAGACUGGAGGUGCCGAGUAAGGUGAGAAAUUUUCUUUGGCGGGCUGCCACAAAUGUGUUACCUACAGCGAGUAAUCUUGUUCAUCGUCGAGUAGCUAUUGCGCCUACUUGUUCCCUGUGCAAUGCUUGUAAUGAGACAGUUACACAUGCUUUAUUAGAAUGUGGUUUUGCGAGAUCUUGUUGGAUCUCCUCUGCUGUUGGAGCCCUCGGUCACUAUACCUCUUUCUUGGGUUGGCUUGAAUUUAUAUUCACCAUGUAUAAUAAAGAGAAUUGUCAGCUGGCUGCCAUGAUUUGCUGGAGGAUAUGGAUUCAUAGGAAUGAUUUUGUAUGGAAUCAAAGAAGAAGUAGUGGCUUACAAGUGUUGAACUCGGCGGGAAGGAUGUUAUUUCAGUGGCAGAGUGCAAAGAACCAACUUUUAUGGGCUGAUGUUGCAGCAGUAAAUGGUAGUCAUGGGGCUGUUUGUUGGGAGAAGCCUUGUGAUGGGUGGCUGAAGUGCAAUGUUGACGCUGCGAUUUUCAAAGCUCAUGGUAAAUUCAGUAUUGGCUGUGUAAUCCGUAACUCUGAUGGUGAUUUUGUGACAGCAAGGUGCAAGUGUUUUCCGGGUAAUUUUGGUUCUCGAGAGGCUGAAGCGCUGGGCAUUAGAGAAGCUCUUAGUUGGAUAACGAGGCUGCAGCUGACUAGUGUCAUUAUCGAAAUGGACAAUCUUCAAGUUUUCCAAGCUUUAACUGAGAAGUUUUCCAGCCCCAAUGGUUUUGGGCUAAUAAUUGAAGAGUGUCGAUCUCUAGCUAUGUCUAUUGGAGAAGUGCAAUUCUCGUUUGUUCGACGAUCUGCGAACUCUGCUGCUCAUUGUGUUGCUAGAGUAGGAGGUUCUAUGUCAGGUCCUGGAGAGUGGAGGCAUGUUCCACCUCCAUGCUUAUUACACAAUUUGUAAUGGUUUUCAUGUUUUAAUGAAUAUUCCUGUCAAAAAAAAAAAAAAAAAAAAUUUAGCCCCGUAGAAUUUUCUCUUAAGUUCCGCCCCUGAUUUCAAUCUUUUUGUAUAAAUUGAACCUUUAUACUUAUGAAUUAAUAAUUAUCACCGUAUAUUAUUCUUUAAAAUUUUUUAAUUACAUAUGCUUAUUUAUGCAAGAAUAGUUUUGCAUUACUCGUCAUAUUCUGAUAUUCAUGUCCUCACUCACAAAGUUUUAGAUGUGCCGGCAUCAUCACUCGACCUAAUAAGACUUUCUCUCUCAGUCAAUAGCAGUCAAAUUGAGAAUUAAUUUUUGUUGUUCAAUUUCAACAUGAUGAACUAUCUUUAUCGAAACAAAAAUUAAGAAUACAAAUAUGUUAGCAGCUAAUCACUAAUAUGUAUUUAUUUACAAAAAUAAUAAUGCUAUGUUUACUUAAUUUAUAUAUUUAAUUGAGAUAUUUACUGAUGUGUCAUAGAUCAUUUAAUAUUGUAUUAAGUUAUUUGAUUAUUAAUUAUUAAUCUAUUAUUUUUGCAAAUAGCUCAAUAGAUGACGCAUAAAGUAGCUCAUAGUGUGUAUCUUGAAUGAGGAUCCAAAAUGAGUAAACAUAACAUUACUUUUUACAAAGAUUAAUUUCUUGAGACUGCCAAUGACUUUUUGAAUCAUCAUAUGCAUUUUAAUUUUUAAUUUCUUCUUCUAGGAAUUUAUUUUAUUUUAUUUUGUUAUUUACAUUUAAGGCUUACUAUUACAUUAUUAAAUGUAGUACAAUACCAAAGUCCUCUUACUUUCUUUUUUUCUUUUUAAUGAAAGAUACUGAAUUUUAUUAAGGUGGGAAAAAAAGAGAAGAAAGAAUACAAAAACAAUAAUUUAAAAUCAUAUUUGGGAAGUCCACAAGCAUCUUCAUGCAAACUCUUACAAAUUGAAACAGAAGGAUCAUCUCACCAAUUAUAUAUAAGCAUUAAGAUUUAACCUCGGAUUAGAAAGGCUAUCAGCCACUGAAUUCCUCUCUCUAUAAAUAUGUGAAUUAACAAAGUGUAUUCUACAAAUAAAUCUCAAAUCAAUCAACCAUCUGAUGAGCAGAAGCUAUGGUGGCUUGGAUUUGGUAUUCAUAAGAUAAGCUAAAGCCGAAGACGAGUCAUCUCCAACCAAAUAAAAUUCCAUAAUCUUGAUUGAGAAACUUCAAUAUUAGAGAUCUUUAGGAUCCUAACAUGAUCCUUAUAUAUGAUCCCCUUGCGGAUAUUGGUUGAGAGUCCUUAAACCUGUGGAGAUUAAUUAGUAUAUAUAUCAAUGAUGGGGUUUUGGUGGCAGUACAUAAAAGAGUAAAAUCCUUUUUUUGUUAAUAUGUUCUCUUAAAACAAAAUUCAACAACCACCAACCUCCACUUCUGCCGCCAUAUAAGAAAAUGAUAUUAAAAAUAAAAAAGAUCGAGAAUGAAGAUAAAUGCUUGAAAUUGAAAUUUUUUUUAAUCAAAGAAAUGAUUUUUUAAAUGAAAGAAUUCCUCCACAAGUUUAAAUUGAAGAUAGAGUACUUUAAUUUGAAUAUUUUGAUUGACAAAGAUUAAAAGAAUGAUUUUCUAAAUGAAAGAAUUCCUUGAUAAUAUUAAAAAAAUUAACUUAUGAUUUAUCAUGGUUGAAAAAAUAUGUGCAUGAAAGAUUAUAUAGUUCAAAUGAAUGACUUCCUAAUUUAUUGCAUGACCUUAUAAAGAGACGAGAAUCAAAGAUUUUCAAUGUCUUAUUAGAAAGAUUGAUUGUCAGUAACAUAAAAAUUUGUUCAUUCUAUAUUUACUGAUCAAUCCAACUCCUUAUUCAUAGUUGUGUCAUUCUUUUUUCAUCGUAUUUUCAAUCAUUUUGUAUAAAUUGAACCUUUAUACUUAUAAAAUAAUGAUUAUCUGUGUAUAUUAUUCUUUAAAUUUUUUCAAGUGCAUAUGCUUGUUUAUGCAGUAAUACUUUUGCAUUAAUCAUCAUAUUCAUGACCUCACUCACAAAGUUUUAGGCUCGCCGACAUCACCCCUCAACCUAAUAAGGCUUUCUUUCUCAGUCAAUAGCAAUCAAAUUGAGAAUUAAUUUCAGUAUUUCAGUUUCAACAUGAUGAACUAUCUUUAUUGAAACAAAAAUUAAGAAUACAAAGAUGUUAACAACUAAUCGCUAAUAUGUAUUUACUUACAAAAUAAUAAUGCUAAUUGUCACGGGCUGCUCAAAUUUCCCGUAAUCGGAGGUUAAUUCCGCCCACACGGGUUCGUUUAGUAAAAGUCCGCCAUGAAGUGGAGUGCAUUUAUAAGUGGGAUACGCUUAGCACACAAAGCGGGAUGAAUUUAGAAGAGAGAUGCACUUAGUAAUGGGCAGCCAACACAACAAGCCAACCAUGGUGCGCUUAGCAACCAUCCAAGCCCGGCCCGAGUUCUAGAGUUCUCGACAAUUUGUAAAUACCUAGAGUUUUCUAGAAUUGAACAUUUGGGUCCUAGGAGAUAUUUGUGCAAGUUGCAUGGAAACUUCAAGAACCUUGCACCCAAGUCUAUAAAUAGGGAUGAACCCCCUCAUUUGCCCACCAACCGCACCACACACAAACACUCAAGCACACACACAAGCUCUCUACCUCUCUUGUAAUAUAUUCUUUAGUGUGUAAUAAAAUAUAUUUUGGCCACAAUGCUCUACUUCUCUCUAGCAUUUUCUGCAAGCAUUCUUGCUUCGCUAGUUUGAGAAGUGUUCUAGAUUUACUUAGCGACUUGAGUGUUAAAAGUCGCUUAAGUGUCGCACGGGUUGCUGCGCCACGAAACUCAUCCCGUGACAUAACGCUUACUUAAUUUUAGAUAUUGAAUUGAGAUAUUUAUUGUCACAAAUCAUUUAAUACCAUAUUAUGGUAUUAAUUUAUAUAUUAUUAAUUAUUAAUCUAUUAUUUUUUCAAUUAACUCAAUAGAUGACAAAUAAAAUGGCACAUCAAUGAGUUUCCUGAUUGAGUAUCCAAAGGGAGCAAACAUAACAUUACUUUCUACAAAAAUUUGUUUCUUGAGAUGCCAAUGAUUUUUUUUUUUGUGAUUUUUUGAAUCAUCAUAUGCAUUUUAAUUGUUAAUUUCUUCUUUUAGGAAUUUUUUUUGUUUACUUAUUUACAUUUACUAAGGGUAAGGCUCAUUAUUACAUUAUUAAAUGUAAUACAAUUCCAAAGUCCUCUAACUUUAUUAUUAUUAUUAUUAUUUUUAAAAGAUACUGAAUUUUAUUAAGGGGGAAAAAAAGAAAAAAGAAGAAAGAAUACAAAAAUAAUCAUUCGAAACGAUACUUGGAAAGUCCGCAAGCAUCCUCAUGCAAACUUUUAUGAAUUGAAACAAGAGGGUCAUUUUACCAAUCAUAGGCAUUAAGAUUUAACCCCAAAUUAGCAAGGUUAUCAACAACUGAAUUCUUCUCUCUAUAAAUGUGUGAACUAACAAAGUGUAGUCUACAAAUAGAUCUCAAACAAUUAAACUAUCUAAUAUGCAGACACCACGGUGGCUUGGAUUUGAGACUUAUAAGAUAAACUAAAGUCGAAUACGAGUCACCCUCAAACCAAAUAAAGUUCCAUCCUUUCGAAGUUGCAAGCUCAAAUGUGUAGGAACACACCAUCGACGGUUCUUUGUCGGCCACUGAAUUUGGCGCUUGUAAGGCUCACCAUUAGAUCUUUUUACUAGAGUAUUCAAUCAUUUUUAAUUUUAAUAAAGAUGUAUCCCACGAAAUUUGUGCACUAAGAAAAAAAAUUUGGGUAUUUUUUAAGCACCUCUCCUGAGGUUCAUCAUAUUGACAGUUUGAGAGAAAAUAUGAGCAUAUUAUUAGAUAUCUCCCCUGCCGUUUGUAUUUUCAUCUAAUGAUUGUUAGAACAUAGAAAUAACUGAAAUAUCCCUAAAACUAAGAAAAAUACUAUAGCAACUAGUAGGAUGUUGUUCGAUAAUAGAAUAAAAUAUGCUUUGCUCCCAAUACACUAAUAAAAUUAUAAAAUGACAAAAAUAACCAUGAUAACUAAAUAUUAGACAUUGCAUACUCAUUAACUAAAAAGACGGGAUUACUAUCACAAUUUGUAAACAACUUAAUAAUUUCUAAACUUCAAUUAAGAAAAUCAUAUUUGUCAAGUAGUUUAAAAAUAAAAAUGGUAUUUAUAUCACAAAAACCUCCAUUCUUAACAAUUUUUCUUUUUAGUUCUAUCAAGACUUACAAAACAACAAAUUAUUAGAGAAUAAAAUAAGCAGAUUGGUAGUUGCAGAUACAAACACAGAAAUAUAGCAGGUGCAAAAAAUAAUUUGAUUUCAAAAGUAAUCGAGCAGUUUCUUUCGUUCUUUGGAGUGCAGUGCUCCUAGUUGCACGAUAUGUUGCAGCCAUCUCCUUUGCCUUGAGAAGUUCUUGUCCAUCUGUAGCUUCAAUCAUUGCCCUUUUCUCUUCUACUUCUUUGUUAAGUAAGAUCUAUCUUAUUUUUCACUUUUUAAGUGUAUUUUGCUCAAAAUGUUGCCUAUAAUUAUUCCUACCAAUUAAUGAAUAUAUUGAACAUGAAUCUAUUAUUUAUUAAAUAUGUGAGAUUAACACAGUGCAUGCUAAAAUGCCAAAACCCAAAGGACUUGUAGUUUUGGCAGUUUUUUUUUUUUUUUUUUCCUUUUUAGACAAGAUACAAUUGAAAUUGAAGUCCCCUCACGAUAGGACCUCCUUGCUCCUAAAUUUCUAUCAAUUAUCAAUUGAAAGAGAAAGAGGUACAACCAAUUGUGAAAUUUAUAGGCCGCGAAAUUUUUCAUCAGUAAAGUGAGAAUAAAAGCCCGUAUAUAUAGAAGAUUGGGCACAAUUUUCUUCGAUAUCGUGAAGAAGAGGAAAAAUAAUUAAAAAAGCUCAAUAUAUAUAUAUAUAUAUAUAUUCCAUAAUGCCGUAAUAAAAAUUACGACAUCAAUACUAUGAUAGAAAAAAAAAUUAUAAAUUACAUAUAAAACUAAUAAGUAUAAAGUAAAACCAGUAAAUUCGUACAAUAUUAUCAAUUAUUUAAAAAAUUAACAUUAUUUCCAUAGAAUUUUAGUGAAAAAUAUUUUAUUCAUUUACAAAAAAAUAUUUUCUUUAAUUAAACAAACAAAAAAUUACUAAUUAAUUAAAUAAAAAAUUAUACUGAAAAAAAGUAGAAUAAGUUUUAUUGAGUUGGUUUAACCAUAAAUUCUAUACAUAUUCUAGAACAUUUGUAUACUUUUUUUUCCCAUUUUUUUUAAUAAUAUGUAUUUAUUACACAAGUUCAUUUAGCACAGUUAUUUAUCUUGAUAUGGAUCAAGCAAAAACAAAAUAAAAAAAUAUUCUUAUUUUACUUGACACAUACAUGAUGUAUCAAUAAAAUUAGAUCUAAUUUUGAGUUUUGUGUAAAAUUCAUGUACUUUCAAACUUUUUAGUUGUACUUAGAGACCAUUUAAGGUUGUUUUGAGGAAGUGUAGAAAGAUGUAAAAUAACUUCAUCUUGCAGCAACUAUGAAAGAUACUAAAAUAAUAAUUUUUCAAAAUCUGAUUUUGAGAAUAAAUUUCAUCGUUGAUGAAAAAUCCCAUGUAUUACAUAAAUGCAAAACUAGCAUUAUUCAAUUUAAAUAAAAAAAUUAAUAAAUGUAUAAGGUAAUAAACAUUAUAAUGAGUUUUUAUUUUACAAUUGUGAACUUUUUUUUUGUUUGUAGUAACUCUUAUAUUAAUUUACUUAUUUUACCUUUUAUUCAUAAGUUUUAGGCAUAAGCUAUAAAAUUUAUGUUUUAUUUUGCAUUUAAUGUUGAUUUACUUGUUUAUGUUAUAUUUGUAAAUAUUUACCAGUUUUAUAGUAAUUUACUUGUUUUUCCUUUCUUUUACAAGUCUUACAUUCUAUUUCUAAAAUUUAUGUUUUAUUUUACAGCUAGUGUUGAUUUAUUAGUUUUAUGUUAUAUUUGCAAGUUUUUGUUUUAUUUACCCGUAAUACAUUAAUUUGCAAUUUUCAUAUUAAUUUACUUAUUUUACCUUCCAUUUACAAGUGUAAUGUUCCAUUUUCAAAACUUAUGCUUUAUUUUGCACUUAAUGUUGAUUUAUUAAUUUUAUGUUAUACUUGUAAGUUUUGUUUUAUUUACCAAUAAUACAUUAAUUUACUAAUUUUAUAGUAAUUUACUUAUUUUACCUUUCUUUACUAGUCUUUUGUUUCAUUUCUAAAAUUUAUAUUUGAUUUACGGUUAAUUUUGAUUUACUAGUUUGUAAGUUUUUGUUUUGUUUACUAGCAAUACAUCAAUUUACUAGAUUUAUAUUAAUUUAUUUGUUUUAUCUUUCAUUUACAAAUCUUAUGUUUAAUUUCUAAAAUUUAUAUUUUAUUUUGCACUUAGUGUUAAUUUAUGAAUUUUAUGUUAUAUUUGCAAUUUUUUUUGUUUUAUUCACUAAUAAUACAUCAAUUUACUAGUUUUAUAUUAAUUCACUCCUUUUACCUUCCAUUUACAAGUCUUAUGUUUAAUUUUUAGAAUUUAUGUUUAUAUAUAUAUUGUAUUUGGGAGUAAACCCACCUAAAUCUUAAAUUGUAAUCAGAAAUACAAUCCUAAAAAUUAAUUUCAUUUAAAAAACUCUCAAUUUUUCUUCCAUUUCAAUUUUAUUACAAAAGUUUGGAAUUUUAUUUGCGAUUAAAAAGAAAAAUUCAUUUUUGUUUAACAUAUAAAUCACAUGAAAGUAACUAAUCUUUAAUAUGCAAUGGUUUAUUUAGCUCAUCACUAGUGCAAAUCAAACUAAAAACAUGCAGCAGUUUCUUUAACAAAUCAAAUAGAGCAUUAAAUCCAUUUUCAAACACAACAUCAAAUCAACCAAAAGGCUCUAACUUAACAUGCAUUGGGUUAUCUGGAUUACUCGCAAUCCAUUCAUACUUUAUUGUUCAUUAUUGUUCAUUCAAACUGGGGCUUCUUCGGAUUAGAAGCGAAAAGAGAAGAGUCUUCUGUUUGUUUGGGUGGUUAAAUGGACUGCUAUUUAGCUUGAGUUUGGUAGAUGAAAGACAAAAUAUGUCCAACGCAUUCUUAGAACCAAUAGUGAAGUGCUGCAGCGGCCAACUCGGUCAUGAGUUUACUUUUUGAAUUUUUUUUAAUUUUAAGUACCUUUAUAUGAAAUUACCAUCAUACAUUAACAAGAGAUCAAAUUGAAUACAGACGGCGGGAGAUGUAUCUAAUAAUACGUUCAUAUUUUUGGUCCCUAAAAAUUAGAAAAAAAAAAACACCUUAUAUUUUCAAUAUUUUGGCAUUGAUAUUCUCACUUUAUAGUUUAUACCACUACUAGAAAAAUGGUCUUUACUGAUACUUAGUUCGUGACACUUUAUUAAAAAGUAUCAGUAUUUACAUAUAUAUGAACCAUUUUCCGUGUUUAACAUACAAGUAUCACAAAAUAUUAAUAUUAUGGUGUCUCUAAAUUAAACAUCAGAGAUUACUGACACUAAGGUAUCUGUAAAAAAAUUAAAGUAAUUAUGAUAUUGUUCAUGAUAAAACUCGAACCCAAGACCUAUAAAAAUUAAGCUUUUAAGUUUUAAACAAAAGCCAUUAUAAUUUUUCAUAAUGACACUAAGGUAUCACUAACUGUUAAAAAAAACAAAAACAAAAACACACGCACACAUUCACACAUGACACCUCACCCCACACACUCACAAGACGCAAAAACAAACCCUAAGUCCUUAACAAUUAACAUUACAAUACUUUGAAAGAGAGAGAGCGCCGCUACUCUCGAUCCAGUGCUCCAACAUCGGCUCAGAUCUCUCGCUUUUAUAUCACCGUGUCAAGCCUCUCCGUCACGCCGUCAAGCCUCUCCGUCACGCCGUCAAGCCUCCAUCAAGUGUCACUGCUUCAAGCCUCCAUCAAGUGUCACUGCGUCAAGCCUCUCUGUCACGCCAUCAAGCUUCCAUCAUGCGUCACCGCGUCAAGCCUCUCUCCGCUGUCAUAAGUCACCGACGCGGCACCGCGCCAUCACUAGCCAACCAACCACCAAAAUUGACAGCCGUGCUAGCUACCCACCACCACAAUACCCUACCACUGCCUGCUAAUACUCCACAAAAUCUUCUCAAGACUUCGAGCCACAGUGUCCAGGUUUGCUUUUUCAAGUCUUGCUUCUUUAAGUUUUUAGUAUCAUCAAGUCUUGCUUCUUCAAGUCUUAAAAGGUUAAAAUAACAAUUUUAGAUUUCAAAUCUUGCUUCUUUAAGUCUUAAAGUGUAUCUUCAGUCACCAAUUAUAUUUAUGGGUAUUCACCGGUUCGUUGAGUAAUUUUUUUCAAACAGAUGGGGUAUUGCGUCAUAACAACCUUGUAUAUAUCUAUAUCUAACAUUGAAUGAAUGAAUGAAUCUAUGUGUAGCUUACGAAAUGAAAAAUCAAGAGUAGUAACAAUUAAAGAACAAUUAAAAAUGAAAUGAAAGCUUAAUCACAAGUUGUCUAUUGAUUUACCUUUCAAUAAAUCUCUCUCUCACACUCACACACUCUGCUCUCUAACCUACCUUUUUGAUUUGGCUCCCAAAAAAAUAAUAAAGUAAAAUUUUGGUCCUAAGAAAGUUUGAUUUCUAAAUAAAGGGGAAAAAAAGUUAAAAGUGUUAACAUAAAUAUGUUAAUAAUAUUGAUUUUGAUGAUAACAAAUUUUAAAUGUAUUUUGACAAAAAUAUUGGAGCUAUUUCUUAAUAAACGAAAACCCUUUUAAUCAUUGCCUUAUUUCUUCAUAAAAGAUGGAUUUUCAAAUUAGAAAUAAAUUCUCUGCAAAAACUUGUUUAAAACUGCAAUUCUGGUCAUAAACGGUGAACCGUUUAUUUUAAACGGUUAACCGAUUAAAGGCAGAGAGUAACACAUUUCCUAAACCUCUAACCGUUUAUGGAAAACGGAAAACACAAUAGAUAGGGAGAUUACUGGAACUUAACGGUAAACCGUUUUAUUUUAAACGGUUAACCGAUUAUCACCAGAGAGCAACAUAUUACCUAAGCUCUAACCGUUUAUGCUUAACGGAAAACACCCAAGAUGGGAAGGCUACUGGAACCUAACGGUGAACCGUUUAUUUUAAACGGUUAACCGAUAACGUCCAGAAUUGAUGGUUGUCCUCAUCUGGCAUUGAUUAACGAAAACUGAUAAGGCUGAAUUGUUGUGCAGGUUACUGGGGCCAAACGGCAAACCGUUUAUUAUUAAACGGUCAACCGAUAAUACCCAGAGAAGCCACUUUAUGCAAUCCCCUAACCGCUAAAUGAAAACGGAUUAACUGAUGUUCAUUUUCCAGGUUACUGGAGACAAACGGCUAACCGUUUAUUUCAAACGGUUAACCGAUAAUAUCCAGAAACGCUACUUCAUGCAAGUCCUUAACCGUUUAGUGUAAAUGGAUAAUAAAUGCUCAUCUUGCAGGUCUCUGGACGUUAACGGCGAAAGGGCAACCCUAAACGGCAAACCGUUUAUUUGAAAUCUGGCCCAACGGUAACUUUGACCAGCCUAAACGGUUAACCGUUAAUGGUUAACGGCGAACCGUUUUCUGUCCGACAGUUUGUAACGGCUAGAUUUUCGGCUCCAAAUAUAAAUAAGCUCAUUCAAAUUCAAAGAAGAUUGAUCACAACACAACCAUUUGAGCUAAUAUUUGAGAAUACAAUCUUCAUAGAGCUUAGAACACAUUCUUGCUUCAUCUAUUCACAUAUUAAGCAUCAUUGAGUAAUCUUAUAUAUUGUGAGAGGCAAAACAAUUUGUAAUCUUUUACUUUGAGUGAUUGUAAGUGUUGGGAUACACUUGGGUUAAGAGAUUGGGGAUAAUCUCUUGUUGUAAAGGUCCAUUGACACCUUGGAAGUCAAGUGUAAGCAUUUGAAGCCUUGGAGGCUUGCUUAGUGGAAUCCUCAAGCCCGGAAAGUUUGGAGGCGUGGACGUAGGCAAGGUUGGCCGAACCACGUAAAAAUCUCGUGUUUGAAUCUCUCUUCCCUUAUCUUUUUAUAUUGUGAUCAUCUUAAUUGUUAUUGCUUUGAAUUUGAGUUAUAAUUGCAUUAAGAUUUUCUUUAAUAUUGAAUAAUUUUUUAGAAUCCCAAUUCACCCCCCCUCUUGGGUUGCUUACUUAUAUUUCAAAAAGAAAGUAAGAUUUAUUUUACAAAUUUUACGGUGCUUCUCUUUUAGAACUGUAUGUAUAAAUAAUAAUAAUAAUAAUAAUAAUAUGAGUUUCAUAGAAAAUUUAGUUUAUUUGAUUGUGUUCAUUGAUAUGCUUUAACAAUGCUUUAUUAAUUCUUUUUAUUUCUUUAGGAAAGAUUGAUAGAGUGGAUAAUAUCUAACUAAUUUUAUGAUAAAUGGCAAAACGUGUGGAAUAUAAUUGGAAAAAGAUUGAAAUAAUCUAUUUCAGAUUUUUAUGUCCUCUUGCGUUAGUUUAUUGGAUAUGCUUUUAUUAUAUGUCCGUAAUUUACUUUGUUUAGGCCAAAUAAAAUAUUUUUUGUUGGAUGGGGCAAUAUAUAGUAUAGAUGGCCUAGUGUAACUCACUAGAAGCUGCAAAUUCUUUGUAAUUUACAUAAUCUGUUUUUUUUUUUUUUAUCUGGGGUACAUGCACAAAGAUUUGGGUGCAUCCACUUCACACUUAUCAUUUUUAUACAAAAGAAACCACGUAGCACAUAUUAAAAUCACAUACACUUCACUUUUCAAAGAUUUAAUCCAACAAUAAAAAAAUUUCCGAUUUAAUCCAACAUCACAUGCAACUUCCUGUGGAGUUAAGUACCCAAAUUCCAUUAACUGAACACCAUGUCCCGAAUUUGAUUUACAAGAAAUGCUUUUACAAGAGAGGACAAGGAGAAAUUUGAAGUAAUAUGGAAUUCUCCAUAGACUUGGUUUUCUUGAUUUGCUAUUUGGCUUGUUGGCAUUCUCCAAUAUGUAAUAUGUUUGUACUAUUUUUGUAGAAGUUACGAAAAGACGAUGACCUCUACUUGAUUUGCUAUUUGGCAGGUUGCCAUCCAGCGCUGUGAGCCCUCUCGGUAAGGAUUGCAUUAUUUCAUCCAUGAAAGCAGUAAGUUACCCAAUUAAUUCAUUUGCUUGCAUCAAUUUGCUAGAUUGUUUUAUGUAGGUAUCAAUUGUUAUGUGUUAAAUGUCCCAAAGUAUAAGAAACCAAAAGAGAGAUGAGUACAAAGACAUGGGGUGUGUAUUAAAUAGACUAAUUUAUUGCGUCAAAUUGGAUAUUACAACCUACAGAAUCAGUAGAGAAUCAGUUAAAAAAAAUGAAAUGACAUGAAAAAUGAAAAAUGUUUAUGGCAUGUUUUGUUGGCUUGCUGAACAUGUACAUGUAUUUAAGUGACUUUAAACAAACAAAACAUGGCUUUGUUUUGCAAUUUGUAUCUUUUAUUUAAACUUGAAAAGUUUAAUCUUGCAUUAUGUCUACAGGGGGCGUUAACACCUAUGUUAGAUUAAUUACAUGCUUGGUAACCCAAACUUUAAUUCAUUAAAAAAAAUAUUUAUCAUUUAGCUAUGAAGCUUAGGAGUAUUCAUGCACAUGUAAGAAGUUCAUGUAUCUAGUCUCUAUACUUUUUUCUUGGGGGUUAAAUUUCAAAUAGGGUUUAAAAUUUUAAUCUUAAUACUUUUUUCUGUUCUAUAAAUGUGCAGCAAAAUUCUUUAGCAAACUGUGGAUGAAGUCAAAAGAAAUCCUUCCUAACUAGCACAUGCCGACUUUUAUGAAACUUGCAUUUUUUUCUCGUCUCCCAUGGGGAGUAGCUGAACCCAUUGAGGUAAUGCUUAAUUCAAUCAUUUCUUGAUGGUUUAUUAAAAUAUAGCAUAUAUGUUUUAUUGUCUUAUAUUCUGUACCUGUAUUUUGGAUUUGGAAUUUCUAUUAAUAGACUUCACUUUCUACCCAUAAAAUGAGAAUAUAAUUAUACUUUUGUAGCUAUUUUGAGCCACAAACAUAAAGAAUGUUCACCUUAGCAAAAAUAAGCUCCACCAUUUUUUAAAUAAUUGAUAGUGCACCGUGUCUAAGUGAAUGAUUGAAAGAUCUUUGUAAUUGAUCCAGUGAUCUUUCUUCAAUCUUUCCUUUUGGCUUCUUCAUCUCAAUGACCUUAAGCCAUUUUUUGUUCCUGUACCUUAAUAACUGAAUAUGUUUAGUUUCUUUUUGCAGAAGUGAAGUUUCUAAAAAGCUGGUGUUGUAUUUUGACCCCAGAUUGUUAUAAUUGUGUCUCGAAGAUUUGAUAGGAAAUUGGAAAGUACUGCAAGAGUUUGGUACUACACAUUUUUUUCUUAAGAAUACUUAUUUAAUUCAUCAGUGAUACCCUAAGAAUACUUAAGAUGAAAAGGAUUAAUAUCAAUUUUGAGCUUGUUAGGGAUCUUUGGUAAUUACUGUUAGGUAUGCUAUGUGCUGGUUCUGUUUAAUUCCAUGUUCUUGCUUUCCGUAAUUUCUAGAAAAUGUUGAGUGGUUGGUUACAGAUUAUUGUUUUAGUUAUAUUGACUUGUUAGUAAUUGGAUUUGAAGUUGGAUGUGAUGAGUACACAUUAUGGAUGAUCUUUCGUAACUUCUUGAUGAGUGGGCCGCAUAUGUUGCCAAGUUAUUUGUAGCAUACGAUAAUCAUGUAAUGUAUGAGUAUAUUUUUUAUUGUAAAUGUCCAAGACUUAAUUUGUCUGGCAUACUAAUUAAUUCUAUAUGUUACACUUGUAGGUGGGAAAACAAUGAAGUUCAAGGUGUAGAGGCAUUGAGGAAAAUUUUGUUGCCAACUAAAUACUUGUAUUUUUCUCAAAUCGAAUGUCUACUUGUGUGUCUUUCAAAACCAAGAGGUGGGCUUGGAAGCAGCCAUCCUUGGAAGAAAGCUUAAUAGUUCACUGGUCUAGCUCCAUGGCAUCGAAAAUGAAUCAGGGCUCCUAUAUUUGAGAUAUUCUGAAUUUAUAUGUUUCUUUAAUACUUGUUUGAAUUUGUAUUUGAUACAAUUGUAAAAAUAUAUAUACUACCAAUAUUUAAAUAUGAAUUGAAAGAUUUUGCAAUAUGAAUCGAGGUGUUUUUUUUUUUUUUUAGAUUUGUAGUGCCUUUUAAUUUUACCAACAAAUCAAUUAGUAAUGAGACAAUUUAAAUUUUUAUUUUUCUAAAUAAAUUAAAUAGUGAUACCAUGGUAAUAGUAAUCAUAGACACUAAUAUUAUAUCAACAAUUACUAAUACUAUAGCAUCAUAAUAUUAGUGAUACUAUAGUAACAAUAAUCACUAACACUAAUUACAAGUGUCACUAUUUUUCUGACUCCUAAAUUACUGAUACAAUUAACAAGUGUCACUAAAAGUAAUUGCUGACACAAUUCUAAUGUCAGUAAAGACUAUUUUUCUAGUAGUGUACUAAAACCUAUCAGAAGUCACUAUCCGAUUACCAAGAAAAAAAAAUUGGUAAUAAAAUACGAUAUUGGAAAUUCAAUGAUACGAUACUGCCACAGCGCAGCUGCCCCAAAAGCAUGCAAAGUGAGUCUAUUCGUGAUUUCAAAUGCUUGCAAACAAACAAAAAUAAGUAUUUAAAAUUUUUGCGGGGGUAGUUGCUCAAUUGCUUUUUCUCUCUCCGACCUAUUUUGUUGAGUUUGCAAGAGAUAAAAGAAAGAUUAUUUUCAGAUAUAAAGAGGGAAGGUGGAUGUAAAAACUGCGUGGUUGUUAAAAUGUUGAAACUGAGCUGAUAGACUUGUUUGGAUGCUGAGAAAAUUUAAAAGAAAAUGAAUAUUCUAGAUCUGUAUUUUAUUCUUUCUUAUUGUUUCGAAUACAUCAAAAACUAAACUACUGAUCUCAGUAAAAUGUUUAUAUACACAUGUCACUCUACACAUGAACAGAACGAGAACAACAUUAACUGAAUACAGAGAAUAUAACAAACUCUCGCUGAGCUGGCACUAAUACUCUCAAUUGCAAUGCUGACUGGACACAAAAUCACACGUGCCAAAUGUACAGCUUACUUGUAUGCUUGAUGUGCUUCCUUAACAGCCCCCCUCAAACUCAAGGGGCAUGGAUGCACAUUGAGUUUGACUCUAAAAUAAUUGAAAUGAGUAAACGUGAGAUGUCUACAAUCUACUCUUCACUUGGAAUAUAAUUGAUUUCCAGUUCUCCUGCUAACACUGUAUCUCUAACAAAGUGCAUGUCAAGCUCAAUGUGUUUUAUUCUCGAAUGAUAAACAGGGUUCUUAGCCAACUCUGUUGCACUUACAUUGUCACGCCAAACUACUGGUAAAGUGGUGCAUUUAAUCUUGAGCUCUUUAAGCAAUGAUUGUAUCCAAGUGAUUUAUGCACUUGCAGAGGCAAGAGCUCUAUACUCACUUUCUGCACUUGACCUUGUGACCACAAUUUGCUUCUUUAAUGACCAAGACAUCAGGUUGUUUCCAAAGUAAAUGCAGUAUGCUCCUAUCGAUUUCCUAUCAUCAAUAUCACAUGCCCAAUCUGCAUCAGUAUUACCUGCGAUUCUCAUUUCUCCUUCAGUUGAAAACUUUAGCCCAUAAUCUUCUGUUGCUUUUAAGUAUCUGAGAACUCUUUUGCAGGCUAAUAUGUGUUGAAGUGUUGGUGCUGACACAUAUUGACUCAGUUUGUAACUUGUUGCAUCUUCAAGAUAUUGUCCUAGAUGACCUUUAACCUCCUUCUGAAGCUUAUAACCUGUAACCAUUAGAGUAUCACAACCCUUGCAUUCCAACAUGUCAGUUUUACUCAGCAGAUCUCUAAUGUAUUUCCUCUGUGACAGGUACAUACCAUCUUUGGCAUAAGUGACUUUUAUUCCAAGAAAGUAUGACAAAAUUCCUGAGUUCUUUAAAGCAAACAUCCUGCUAAAUUCAGAGAUGAAUCUUUCCAGCUCCUUACUAUUUGCACUAGUAAUUAAAAUAUCAUCAACAUAAAUCAAAACCAGUAUUAUUGACCCAUGUAUCUCCUUAAAGAAAAGAGAUGUAUCAGCUUUAGAAUUUUGAAAAUUCCAGGUUGUGAUUAAAGAAUCUUUCAACUUGUCAUACCAGGCCCUAGGAGCUUGCUUCAAGCCAUACAAUGCCUUCUUCAGUUUACAAACAUGAUUGGGUUUCUGCAUAUCAAUAAAUCCCUCUGGCUGGCACAUAUAGACAUCUUUGGUCAGUUCCCCAUUUAGAAAAGCAUUGUUCACGUAAACUUGUCUUAUCACCCACUUAUUCAUUAUGGCUAAACUCAGCACAAUCCUCACAGUGCAUGAUUUUACAACAGGAUUGAAUGUCUCAAAGUAAUCAACUCCUUCUGUUUGCUGAAAAUCUUUUGCAACCAACCUAGCUUUGUACUUAGCUAUACUACCAUCAGUGUUCUGUUUAACUCUAAACACCCAUUUAUUUCCAACAACUUUGUACUCAGCUAAAGGUGGAACUAGUGACCAAGUUCUAUUUCUGAUCGAAGCUUCAUAUUCAUCUUUCAUUCCUUGAUGCCAAUUCUGAUCACAAAUAGCUUCUUGAAUUGUAUCAGGCUCCUUAUUGGUUAAAGUUGCAGUAUACAACUUAGGUUUGAAGAUUCUAAAUUUUGAUCUAGUAAUCAUUAUAUGAGAGGGUUGUAAAGUAAGGUUUCUGUUUGUGAUUUGUUGGAUGUUUAUUUGAUUUUCAGGUUGUGUUUGAAUUGGCUCUGGAUUUUGUGAAGGUAAAGAGAAUGAUGAUGAUUCUGAUAAAGUAUGAUUACCUUGCUCUUGUUGAUGGGGAAUGUCUAUAUGUACAGGUACAUAAGGUGUUUGUUGAUGUCCUGUUGAGCUUGCUGAGUAGAUAUCCUCAAAACUGCUGUGAGGUAAGAACAAUGUGGAUAAAUGAUAGACUUACUGUGGAGAAAAGUGUGACACUAAUACUGAUGCUUCAAAAUUUUUAUUGCAUUGAGACAAAUUGAAGGUAUUAUCAGUUGAAUAAGGGAACACGGUUUCAUCAAAUGUCACAUGUCUAAGUAUAUAAACUUGUCCUGAAUUGGUUAGACAUUUAUAGCAUUUAUGAGAUGGACUGUAGCCAAUAAAGAUACAUUUGCUCGUAUGAAAAUCAAACUUGUGCUUAUUGAAGUCUCUUAAAUAUGGAUAACAUAGACACCCAGAGCAUUUCAUAAAGGAGUAGUCUGGUUUAUGGUUGAACAACUUGUGUGUUGGAAGUCUGUUUAUAUGAUUUACAGUUGUAUGAACAACAUCCCACCAAAAUUUGAAAGGGAGAUUUGCCUGAGCUAAAAGGGUUAAUCAUAUCUCAACUAUGUGUCUAUGCUUCCUUUCAACUAAACCAUUUUGAUAAUGAGUGUAUGGACAUGAGUGUCUAAAAUGAAUCUCAUUUGAUUAAGAAAAUCAGUGAACACUCUAUAUUCCCCCCCCCCCCCAAUCAGAUUGCAACAUCUUGACUUGAGUAUUGAAUUAAUUUUCCACUUGAAAUUUAAACAACUUGAAAACCUUAAAGGCUUCAGAUUUGAGUUUAAGUGGAUAAAUCCAGGUAUAUCUGCUGUAAUUAUCAAUGAAACUAAUAUAGUACUUAUAACCAUUUCUUGAUACAGUAGGUGAGGGACCCUAUAGAUCAGUAUGUAUUAGUUCUAACACCUUUUUGGUUUUAAUUUCAGUAGUCGAAAAAUGUUGUUUAUGAACUUUACCCAGUUGACAGGCUUCACAUAAAAAAUGUGCAGAAGAGCUUUGAGAGAUUUUAAGCUUUGGACAAGAUUUAAGCAAAUGCAUCAGUAUUAUAGAGCUUGGAUGACCAAACCUUCUAUGCAACAAUGUCAUAUCAUCAGGUUUUUUGUUACAAUUAUUUUGAACAGCAUGAUAGCAAGCUUUAGUAAAAGAUGUACAGUUUUGAGAAGCUGAAGACACAUUUAAAAAGAACAAUAUAGACAUUGGUUUAUUCAACUGAAAAUGAGAUAUAUGAGAUGUAGGUGAGGAGGAGUUGGGUUUCAGCAGCAGCUUGUACAGACCUUUCUCAGCAAAGCCCUGCAGAAGAACUUGUCCCUUCAUGUCCUUUACAAAACAAAUAUUGCCACAGAAUUCAACAGAUAGAGAGUUAUCAGAAGUUGGUUUAGAAAUGCUCAACAGAUUUUUAGUGAUUGAUGGAACAAGUAACAUGUCUUUAAGUGCUAUAGUAGUGUGUGUAGAUUGUAUGGAUGAGUAUGGUGAAGCUCUAUAUGACAGAAAUGCAUUUCCAAUAUGAGAGAUAGGCAAACCUUGACCAUUUCCAAUAAUAAGAUGAUAUGUACCUUUAUAUUCCUCUCUAAGAUGCAGAUUAUCCAUGUUGUUGGUCAGAUGGUGAGUUGCUCCAUUGUCCAAGUACCAGCCAUCAUCAGCAGUCCCUUCACAGUUGGCUACAAAUGCUGCUGCAGUGUUAUAAGAAUCAACUCCAGAGUAACAGUUAGCAGAAGAGCUAGGAUAAAAACUUGGUGACAUGUAACUGGGAUUAUCAUAGUCUUCAUAGCCCUGGUGAGGAAUAAAACCAUCAAAAUUACUAAGAUAAGUUGCUCUUGGUCCUUUACCUUUUCCAAAACCUCUUGGUGUAGCCACAUAAUCUUCAACAAACCUAUGCCAACAAAUAUCAGCAGUGUGACCAGACUUAAAAUAGAUCUGACAUAUUAUCUCUUCUCCAUUUCCAGAACUUCCUUGUGCUCCAUUGAUACCGGUAAAUCCACCUCUAAUAACUUGUGAUGGAUUCCUAGGUGCUUGAAAGGAAUUGAAAGCAUUAGUCUGUCCAAGAGAAUAUCCUCUACCAUAUCCACCUCUGAAACUUCCAGUAUGCAACCUCUGAGGAUUAUUGUUGCCUCUACCAAAAGGAUAAUUUCUACCACCAAAAUUUCCAAAACUACAACCAGUAUAUCCUCCUCUUUUAAAAUUACCUCUAGAUUGAAUGUUGUGCAAAUUUUAAUGUACUCGCAAGCGCACGAAUCUAUUGUAGUAUAGAUCAAUGGUGACGAGUGUCGAUCCCACGAGGAGGUGAAUUUUAAUUAUAUGUAGAAUUAAUUUUGUAAAUGGGUGGUUGAAAUUGUGGUGGAAGUGAUUUAAAUUAUCCUAAAAUUGGAAUUGCAAUGGCGAGAAUAAAUUCUAGCGAAAUCUAUUGAAAUGACGUACUUGGGUACCUGGAUUCGUAUCAACAUGCAUCAUGGGCUAAAUAAUCCGUAUUAAUGCCAAUUAAAUCAUGAGGGGGGAAUCCACACCUCAUGAACCACGCUCUAAUCAAUAUGGUGCUAAGGGCUUAUUGUGCCAAAUAAUAAUAACCUUGUACUAGAGGGCCGGUGAAACCAAGGCGGUACUAGACAAUAUUAGUAUUAUUUGUCGACGAGAAGUCAAAACAUCCACAAAAACUAGAGGGGAAGAGAAAAUAAAUUUACCAAAUAAAGCCCAUGACACAUGUUGAAACUUCACCUUCAACCCAAGCUUGAAAGAAAAUUAGCUACUCAUAAUUGAAUUAGGGGCAAAAGGGAAAUUUAUUAAAAUACAAAGAAAAUACAAGAUGGAGAAGGAAUUACAGAAAACGGAUCCCAAAAAUGGAUUCAGAGCUCUCCAAUUAGAGGGGGAAGGCCCCCUUUUUAUAGAUACAUGGAGUAAAUCAUGGCCAUCGGAUUAAAAACAGUUUGGACGCUCAGGAUUGCGCCACGUCAUCAGUCAACAGUCCACGGUUUGACCACGCGGAUGAACAGUAACACGGUUUGACCCGGAUGAACAGUAACGCGGUUUGGUUGAAAAUAAUCCUGUGUGAUGCAUGCACCGUACGUGAGAUUUUUCGUCCACUGAUAUGCUGCCACGUCACCAUCAACAGUACAUAAGAAUUUUAGUCCAACAGGAUCGUGACACCUCAUCAGUCAAUGCCACAUCAUCGGUCAAUGCCACGUCAUCGAUCCGUCUAUGUGAACAGUGCCGUGAACAGUAACAUAUACAGUACUGUAUACGUGAAUAGUACCGUACAUGUGAAUAGUGCCAUUUUUCCUUUUAUGCUCCUCCUAAGGUUUUCGAUUGUCCUGAGUUCAAAAGUGAUGUCCGUUUUGCCGUCUGAUCUCUCCUUUAUUGUGAAAUGACUAUAAUGCCCCCUAAAAUAUAUAAAAUACUUAAUUAAAAUAACACACACGUAAUUACAUCACAAGAAGGUUAAAUACAUAAAAGUAAGAGUUGUUAGUAAGACUUGAAAUGUAAAAUGAUGGUUUUCUCCUUUAUAAAUAUGCAUUUUCUAACACUCAACACACCCCCCAACCAGCUUAUUGCUAGUCCCUAGCAAAUAAAGCGAAAACAAAAUUCAAAUUCAAAAUGAUUUUUUUUUUUGAAACACUCGUGUUUAUUCAAUCAGAUUAAUGAUAGCAAUCAAAUAAAAGUAUAAGAAUUAUCUCCAGUCUAAAGCAACAUCACACCCACAUCAACCAUCCACAUGAAUUAGCCCAGUAGACUUUGUUAUAGCUACUUUCAAGAAUGACAUGUCAAACCCCAAAAUCUCACUGGAAGUAGUGACACUCUCACAAAGAAAUUAAACCCAAUAAAAAUAGUCACUCCAAUGAAUGGUAAUUGAGAGAAAAUAAUAAAGAAGUGAUAUCACAUGCUCUCACCAAGAUGAAAGAAAUAUGCCCUCAGCUUAGAAAUAAUACGAUCUCAAGUCAAACAAAAAUGUUAGUCAACCCACUUUAUUUAUCUUUUUUUUUCUUUUUUUUUAUUAUGCAUCACUACAUCUUUUUAGCCCAUAUAACUAGCUUCUACUUCAAACUAUAGUUCCCUAAAAUCAAGAAGGACUUUUAUUAGGACGUAACGUAGGCUAGGGAUAUGGCUAACAAAGAAAGGAAAUAAGGAAAAUAAAGUGUAUGUUUGAGAAAAAUGCAGAGAAUUUUUUUUUUUUUUUGAAGUUGCAAGGUGUAUUUCACCUAUUAUUGUUAUUAUUUAUUUAAUUUUUUUUUACAACAAUUUUUUUUUGUUUUUGGCAUAACUUCACUAAACAAAAUAAUUAUUUACAUUUUCUCAAACAUAAAUAGGUGAUGGAACUUAUAAGAUAUCGGGUAAUACUCCAAGUCGGAGUGGGUCAAGAUGAUAAGUUGACAAAGAAAAGGUUUUUUUUUUUUUUUAAAGGCUCAAAAGGGGUAACUAUGGAUAUUUAAUAAAAGGGAUGGCUAGAAAGGCUCAAACGGAUCAAAGAUGGCAUUUCCAUCGUCUUUUAGGGCUCUAAAUAAUUAUCCAUAUCUACUAAUUAGAUGAGCCUCCCAAUGUAGCAACACACAUUUUUUUCUUUUUUCUUUUUUUAAUUUUACCAUUUUUUUUUAAAGGGUUAACUCAAAAGAAAUCUAGAGAUCGUGUAUAAAAUAAUAAACUGCUAAGCUGUAUAGAGAAUGGGCAAAAGGGUUACUCUCCAAGAAAAUGAUAGGCUCAACAACUCACUUGGCACUUAUUUAUGACAUGUUCAUUCCUUCAAGCAACUCAUAUUUGUCUCCGACAUCAACAUGUAAAGUAGCAAACAUAGCAUAACAUCACUUAAGACCAAAGAUAAUACAAAUACUAAAAUUUGAAAUUAAUCAUGUCAUCCAAUGUUAAAACAAAUAACACAAUUUUUUUUAAACAACAUUCUACCCCCCCAACCUAUUCUAAACAUGAAAGGAAAAUAUACAUGCAGAAAUGUGAAAAUGAUGUAGAAAAAUUAAUUAGAAAAAGAAUUUUUUUUUUAAACUAAGAAGAUGCGUUUCUAGAGGCACUACACUCCAUAUUCAGCCAUCUUCGACUCAAAAAUUUGAAACUAUAUAUUUAUAAAGGAGAAAGAGGAAGAAAACGAUUUUUUUUUAAAAAAAAAAACGAUGAAGAUGCGUUUUUAGAGUAACUACACUCCAUAUUCAGCCAUCUUCAACACAAAACAUUAGCAACAGUUAGUUUCUACAACAAAAAAAUCAAUAAAAACUUAACCAAGAUUCCACAAUUGUCGACUAUUCCCUCCCCCCAACCAGAACGAAACAUUGUCCUCAAUGUUUUAAAGGAAAGAAGUAGAGUUUAGAAGACAUCACCUGGGUGGUGCAACACAGAAGAAAAUAUUUACAGGCGGAGAGUUAAAUCUAAUUUGUACUUCUUACAGUAGCUACUGUUACCAUCAUUAUUUGGUCGCUCCAACACAAAGGUCCAGGGGUCUGGCUCCGGUUUAUAAGCUUGUAACAUAUCAAGUAGCUCAUUAGCAGUGUGAGUACAAAUAAAGAGUUUUUUCACAUUAGAAGGAAUGAAAUAGUUUUUUAUUGCAUGGUUAAGAAAUGCGAUAAAGCCAUCAUAAAAGUUAUUGACAUUUAACAAACCGAUGGGUUUCUGGUGGAUGUGCAGAUGGGCCCAAGAUGCUAGUGUAAUAAGUGCCUCUAGUGUUGCAAGAUCUCCUGGAAGGAAAAUAAAAGCAUCAGCAUGAUUAAGCAUUUCAGUUAUUCUUUCUUGCAUACCUGAGACGACUAACUCUUCUCCAAUUGAUGAGUCAGACGAACUGCCCAAUGGUUUUAGGACUCUUGGGAUAAUGCCUAACACUUGACUUCCUCUGAUAAAAGCUGCUUCUGAGACCAUUUUUGAUAAUCCUCGGUUACCUCCUCCAUACACUAAGUGUAAUUUUCUCGCUGCUAUGCUUCGACCAAGAUCUAUGGCUGCCUCCACGAACUCUUUAUGUUUGCCAUAGGUAAAUUCAGAAAGCACACAAAUGUUCUUGAAUUGUCUAUUGGGAGUAGCUACCAUUGUGAUACUUCUCAAAAACAAUUUGUGAGUGCUUGACAAAAGAUAAAUCACAUUUAAGAAUCUUGGUGACAGUGGAUCACAGCUGUGAAUGAGGUAACAUGUCAGUGUCAAAUAACGCGUAAAGCACGUGGCUCGCGAGUCAAAAAGGAAACAGUAAAAAGGAAAAAGGAAAAAGCAAACAGUAACAAAAUUAUUAAAGACAAUAAUGCAAACAAUAAAACAACAGUGAAAUGAAAUAAAAUAACAGUAAAGUAAAAGGAUAUUUACACGUAGUUGCGACUGUGGCUCACAUCUUCCUCUGGUUUUACGUCCAGAAACGGCUUGAACGCCCUCUAUGGGUCGAGGAUGGGCUUCCCAUCCAGUUUUCUUAUAAACUUGCAAACAGGGUCGUUUAUAGUCAGAUUCCCGAGACUAUAUCGUGCAUGCUCUUUCUGGAAUAAUGGCCAUAACUGGAGAAUCGCUCCUUGCACAUAUCCACUGGGAUGCGUUUCAAGAGACAGAAGCAUAUCAUCCAAUGACUCCUUAUUCAAGCCAUCCCCUAAUGAAUUGAAUCUUAUCUUCUCUGUUAUCAGACACCAUUCCUAAAGAACAUGGGUUUCUAUCGCAACUCAUUCUGGCACACUUAUGACAAGCAACAUAAAUUCUUCGAGCUCGUCGUUUUCUUGCAUAAUUUUCUUUACCACAACCAGGCAUGUAUGCAAUAAAUUUAGGAGGUAACUCACCUGCCAAUCGUACUUUCGCCUCGAUUAACCAACGGAUGUCAGCAGGUAUGUUAUUCCUCAUGAGUGAUCGUAUGCGUUCGGAUCGAGCUUUAUAAAUCGUAAGGAGGGCAUUCUGAGGAAGUGAAGGGAAUCGCUUGUGAAGCUUCGCUAGAAUCUCGUUUCUGUCCAUACUUUCGCCUCAGAAUGUCAGUUAUUAUGGGAAACUGAAGUAACCGACUUGAUUGUCACGGAGUACCGUUAUCCGCCACUUCACCGGGGUAACAAACUAAAGCACACAAAUAGAAAAACAAAUUAAAACACACAAAGAAAAUUAAAAUCGUCCUCUUAUUGAAUUUACCUCAAGCUCUAACUGGAUGUCGUAAACACUUCUCUCAAUGUCUCUGAGUUGGCGUUCUAAACCCUCAACAUAGGCUACUAACUCUGGUGGUUGUAGAACCCAAAUACGAUGUGUUUUACAAAAUUGAAUUUGCCUUUUGAGAUGAGUUUUGACAUGUUGAAGUGGUUUAGGAAUGUUCAUGAGGAACGGUCUAAGUAAGGUACUCAUGAUUAAAAAUGAUAAGAGAAAACUUAAUUGUUAAACAAACACACUUAUGCAAAAAUAAUUUCAAUUAGCAAAAGAAUAAUAAAAAGAAAGAAAGAAAAAUCAAAUCAACGAAAAGAAGAAUAAAAUCAAUUCAAAUCUGGUGGGUCACUCAAAUUUAUUUCGGUGUCUUCUCCAUGUGGUUGGUAUUCUAGAUAUGGCUUUAAUCUUUGACCAUUAACUUUAAACGUGACACUAUUUUUUGGGUCAUUAAUUUCAAUUGCCCCAUGUGGAAAAAUAGUAUGAACAAUAAAUGGACCAGACCAUCGAGAGCGUAACUUACCUGGGAAUAGGUGCAAGCGAGAAUUGAAUAAAAGCACUUUCUGACCUGGAGUGAAAGAUUUUCUCAUAAUGUGCUUGUCAUGAAAGACUUUCAUUCGUUGCUUGUAAAUUUUGACAUUUUCGUAUGCAUCAUUGAGAAUUUCUUCAAGUUCUGCCAGUUGUAAUCUUCUUUCUGAGCUGGCUUGCUGCAUGUCAAAGUUGAAUUUCUUGAUGGCCCAAUAUGCACGAUGCUCGAGUUCCACAGGUAGGUGGCAAGCUUUUCCAUACACUAGCCUAUAAGGUGACAUCCCAAUCGAGGUCUUGAAAGCCGUUCUAUAUGCCCAUAAUGCAUCAUCAAGUCUUAAUGACCAAUCUUUUCUGUCUGGCCUCACCGUCUUUUCUAAUAUGUGCUUUAUUUCUCGAUUGGAGAUCUCAACUUGGCCACUGGUUUGCGGAUGAUACGGGGUUGCCACUUUGUGUGUGAUUGAAUACUUUGUCAAAAGAGCUUUGAAUGCUUUGUUACAAAAGUGGGCACCACCAUCACUGAUUAUUGCUCGAGGGAAUCCAAAGCGCGAAACAAUGUUGCUUUUCAAAAAUCCUAUCACCACUUUGUGAUCAUUGGUUCUGCAUGGAAUUGCUUCCACCCAUUUCGAUACGUAAUCAACACCAACCAAUAUGUAUUGAUAGCCAAAAGAAGGAGGAAAGGGUCCCAUGAAGUCGAUACCCCAUACAUCAAAAAUCUCAACCACUAAAAUUAGAUUUAGUGGCAUCAUGUUCCUUCGUGUAAUGCUCCCCAUUUGUUGACACCUAUCACAUGAAGAACAUAAAGUGUAAGCAUCUCGAAAUAUAGUUGGCCAAUAAAAACCAUAUUGUAAAACUUUAGUCGCCGUUUUCUUAGCAUUGAAAUGGCCUCUACAAGCUUGUUCAUGGCAGAAUGAAAGGAUAUUCUGAAUUUCACUUUCUGGGACACAUCGUCUAACAAUUUGGUCUGCACAAUACUUGAACAAAUACGGGUCAUCCCAAAAGAAAUUCUUUAUUUCUGCAAAGAAUUUAGCCUUGUCUUGCUUGGUCCAAUACUCCGAAAGUUUACCUGUAACAAGAUAAUUAACUAUAUCAGUAUACCAAGGUAAUACUUCUACACUCAUUAAUUGUUCAUCUGGAAAUGACUCAUUCAAUAUUAAUGGCUCUAUAAUUGUGUCAAAAUGGAGACGAGAGAGGUGGUCCGCCACAACAUUUUCUGUCCCUUCUUAUCUUUGAAUUCCAAGUCAAAUUCCUGCAAAAGUAACACCCAACGAAUUAGUCUAGCUUUUGCAUCUUUCUUUGUGAGAAGAUAUUUAAGAGCAGCAUGAUCUGUGAAUAUAAUUAUUUUACAACCAAUGGGAUAAGAUCGAAAUUUCUCUAAUGCAAACACUACUGCUAGCAUUUCUUUUUCAGUAGUUGAAUAGUUCAACUGUGCAUCAUUCAAUGUCAUACUAGCAUAGUAAAUAACAUGGGGAAUUCGAUCAACUCUUUGUCCUAAUACUGCUCCUACUGCAUAAUCAGAUGCAUCACACAUGAGCUCAAAUGGUAAGCUCCAGUUUGGGGCCUGAAUGAUGGGUGAUGAUGUCAACAAUUGCUUUAAUUUUUCAAAAGCCAUAAGACAUGAAUCAUUAAAGAUAAAAGGUACAUCCUUAGCAAGUAAAUUGCAUAAGGGUCUAGAAACUUUGCUAAAAUCUUUAAUGAAACGUCUAUAGAAACCAGCAUGCCCAAGGAAAGAUCUUACUUCUCUGACUGUUUAAGGUGGAGGAAGAUUAGAAAUGAGAUCCACCUUGGCUUUGUCAACCUCAAUACCUUUGCUCGAAAUGAUGUGACCGAGAACAAUACAUUGUUUUACCAUAAAAUGGCACUUCUCCCAAUUCAAGACUAAGUUCUUCUCGGUACAUCUCUGCAGAACUAGCGUUAGAUGAUGUAAACAUUAAUCAAACGAAUCACCAAAGAUAGAAAAAUCAUCCAUAAAGACUUCAAGGAAUCGUUCAACCAUAUCAGAAAAAAUGCUCAACAUGCAUCGUUGGAAUGUAGCAGGUGCAUUACAUAAUCCAAAUGGCAUUCUCCUAUAUGCAAAAGUGCCAAAAGGGCAAGUGAAAGUAGUUUUCUCCUGAUCUUUUGGUGCUAUGGGAAUCUGAUUAUAUCCUGAGUAGCCAUCUAGAAAGCAAUAAAAUUCAUGGCCUGCUAAUCUAUCAAGCAUUUGAUCAAUAAAUGGUAAAGGAAAAUGGUCUUUACGUGUGACAGAAUUCAACUUUCUAUAAUCAAUGCAUACACGCCAUCCUGUAGUUACUCUAGUUGGUAUCAAUUCAUUAUCAGCAUUGGUAACUACUGUGACUCCUGACUUUUUGGGGACAACUUGUACAGGACUGACCCAUGAACUAUCAGAAAUUAGGUAAAUGAUACCUGCGUCUAAUAGCUUAAGGACUUCAGUUCUAACAACUUCUUUCAUAUUAGGAUUUAACCGACGUUGCAUUUCCCUAGUAGAUUUAGCAUUUUCAUCAAGGUGAAUGUAAUGCAUGCAGUCUACUGGAUUUAUACCUUUGAUGUCUGCUAGGUCCAUCCUAAUGCUCCUUUGUGCUUUUUUAAAACAUCCAACAACUUAUCUUUUUGUUCGUCGUUUAGGGAUGAUGAGAUGAUUACCGGUAAAGUGCUUUCUUCUCCCAAAAACGCAUAUUCCAAUGUGUUGGGUAAUGGUUUGAGCUCGAGUUUCGGUGGUGAUUCUGAUGAUGGGAUGAGUUUCUUCUCUAAUGGUGCUAGUUGUUCAACUCUUGACUUCCAUUUAUUAGUGUCCAUGUAUGGUGCUGAGUCAAGCAGGGCGUUGACCUCAUCGACCGAUAUGUCAAUAUCAAAAUCCAAACCAAAGUGAGUUAAAUAUGUUUGUAAAGGAUCAUCACUAAGGUUUGAAACAAAAGUGCCAUCAACUAUUGUUUCUAUUAAAUCCACAUUAACAAUUCCAUCAUCUGCAUUAUGAGGUUGUUUGGCAAUGUUGAAAAUGUUUAGCUCCAUAGUCAUGUUGCCAAAGGAUAACUGCAUAUUUCCAGUCCUGCAUUGAAUAUGAGCAUCCGCAGUUGCCAAGAAAGGUUAGCCUAGAAUAAUGGGGAUGUGCUUCCUUGAAUCCUGUAUUGGUUGAGUGUCAAUUACAAUGAAAUCAACAGGAAAAUAAAACUUGUCUACCUGGAUAAGCACGUCCUCCACAAUACCACGAGGUAUUUUCGUGGACCGAUCUGCAAGCUGUAACACCACUGGAGUUGGGUGUAAUUCUCCAAGUCCAAGUUUCACGAAUACAGAGUAAGGCAAAAGAUUUACACUAGCUCCUAAAUCCAACAAAGCAUUCUCAAUUGUGUGGUUCCCUAUACUACAUGAGAUAGUGGGGGAGCCUGGGUCUUUGCAUUUUAAAGGAAUUUUAUGUUGGAGUAUAGAACUAACGUUUUCUGUUAAAAAUGUCUUCUUUUAAAACAUGCAUAUUUCUCUUUUUAGUACAAAGGUCUUUAAGAAACUUGGCAUAAGAUGGAACUUGUUUAAUAGCAUCAAGUAAAGGGAUGUUAACACUUACCUGUUUGAAUAUUUCGAGAAUCUCACAUGUGGAUUUUCCCUUCUUUCCUUUAGCUAAUCUCUGAGGAAAUGGAGCUUUAGGAACAUAUUCUCGUGGGUUGGUUUCUUCUUUUUCCUCCGGUGGUGAGUCCUCAACAUUCACAGGUACAAUUUGAUUUUCCUUUGUCACCGGCAUCUCCACUUUGUUGUCGACUUCUUUUCCUUUUCGCAAGGUCAUGAUUGCUUUGACCUCUCCAUGCUGCUGUGGUGAACUGGUACUUGCUUCAUGUACUCCUUUAAGAUUAGGCACUGGUUGACUUGGAAACUUGCCUUUCUCAACAGUCAUUGCCGAGGUCUGAACUGAAGAAGCAAGUUGUCCCACCAUCUUCUCGAGGCUUGAAACUGAUUGGGCUUGUGAGUUGAAGCCUGCUCUCAACUCAUUUCGUAGUCCAUCAAUGGUGCGGUUCUGUUGUUCAAUCGUGGAGUGAGUAACAUUCUUGAAAUUCUGGAAUGAAUCCUCCCAUGGUCUGGGUUGAGAAUGGUUCUGGUUCUGAUUGUAUGGUCUAAAUGGUGGCUGAGAGGCUUGAGGAUUUUGAGGAAUUGGUUGCAUUGGUGGAGCUGGAGCUGCUGGUCCAUUCUGUUAGAAUCAUUGAGACCAUGAAAAAUUGGGGUGGUCUCUCCAUCCAGGGUUAUAUGUGUUGGAGUAUGGGUUGUAAUUAGAUGGCUUUCUCAUUACACAUAUGGCAUUGACUUGAUCUGAGUAUGAGUCAUGGUCAUGUGGUUCUGUUGAUUUAGCAGUCGAUAACGAUGCUAUUUGUCGAGCAAGACCUUCAACCAUCUCCUUGACUUCUUUGAUUCCCGAAGUUGACUCGCCAAUUUGAACCUCAUUUACUCCCUUAAUUUUUCUAGUAUUCCUGAGUGAUCGACUCCGUUGUUGGGAAUUAUCCGCUUGUCGCUGGAAGAAUUCCCAAAUCUCUGAUGCACUUUUUGACAUUAGCUCUCCUCCACUUGUUGCCAUUAGCCAUUCUUGCACAUUCGACAAUAAUCCCUCCAAAAAGUAUUGGCAUUGGUGCCAUUUCUCGUACCCAUGAUGUGGACACUUCAAGAGUAGCCCAUUAAAUCGCUCCCAUGUUUCGAAAAACUGCUCGUCCUCUCUUUGUGUAAACUCUGAAAUUUCCUUGCGAAUAGAAUUGGUUUUAUGCACUGGGAAAUAUUUAUUUAGAAAUUUUGUAACAAUUUGUUCCCAUUAUGCAAUGCUAUUAGCAGGCAAAGUAUUUAACCAUGAACGAGCUCUAUCCUUUAAAGAAAAUGGGAAUAAUCUGAGUUUAACAUCAACGUCUGAAAAAUUUUCAUAUUUAAAAGUUUGACAAAUGGUAUGAAAAUCAUUCAGAUGAUUAUAUGGGUCCUCAUUUUCUAAGCCAUAGAAUGUGGGGAGACAAUUUAGCACACUAGGUUUUAGUUCAAAGCUCCUAGCAGCUACAUUUGGGUAUCUAAUACAUGAUGUGCUCAAAUUAGCUAAGGGACUAAAAUAGUCCUUAAAUGGCCUCUCCUGUGGUUGUAAAUCCAUUUUAUUUUUAACGUGUUUGUGUGUGCGAAGUAUUUUUUCUAAUUCAAGGUCUAUAGGUUCAAGAUUAGGUAAUAAUGACCUACGACCAUGCAUGCAAAACAAAUAAAAUAAAAAUAAAGAUGGGAACAAAACGAAUAAAAAUAAAGAAAAAAGAGAAAUUACUAUACUAACCUUAUCGCACUAUUACAACCUUUCUAUAAAAAUACACAAAAAUAAAUACGUGAAAUAAAUUAACUAACAAUAAAUUAAUAAGAUAAACAAAAACAAAAAAAAAAUUACAAAGAAAAAUAAAUUAAAAAUUAAAUUACAGAAUUUUAAAGAAGAGAAAAAGAAAAGAAAUACUAACCUUUAAAUGUAGAUUCACUCUUUUUUUUUAUUUUUUUUUAUUAAAAAAAAUACAAGAAAACAAUUAAAAAAAAUUAUUCACAAAAAUUAAUUCUAUGAAUUAAAAUUACUUACCUCCCCGGCAACGGCGCCAAAAACUUGUUGUGCAAAUUUUAAUGUACUCGCAAGCGCACGAAUCUAUUGUAGUAUAGAUCAAUGGUGAUGAGUGUCGAUCCCACGAGGAGGUGGAUUUUAAUUAUAUGUAGAAUUAAUUUUGUAAAUGGGUGGUUGAAAUAGUGGUGGAAGUGAUUUAAAUUAUCCUAAAAUUGGAAUUGCAAUGGCGAGAAUAAAUUCUAGCGAAAUCUAUUGAAAUGACGUACUUGGGUAUCUGGAUUCGUAUCAACAUGCAUCAUGGGCUAAAUAAUCCGUAUUAAUGCCAAUUAAAUCAUGAGGGGGGAAUCCACACCUCAUGAACCAUGCUCUAAUCAAUAUGGUGCUAAGGGCUUAUCGUGCCAAAUAAUAAUAACCUUGUACUAGAGGGCCGGUGAAAUCAAGGCGGUACUAGACAAGAUUAGUAUUAUUUGUCGACGAGAAGUCAAAACAUCCACAAAAACUAGAGGGGAAGAGAAAAUAAAUUUACCAAAUAAAGCCCAUGACACAUGUUGAGACUUCACCUUCAACCCAAGCUUGAAAGAAAAUUAGCCACUCAUAAUUGAACUAGGGGCAAAAAGGAAAUUUAUUAAAAUACAAGAUGGAUAAGGAAUUACAGAAAAUGGAUCCCAAAAUGGAUUCAGAGCUCUCCAAUUAGGGGGGGAAGGCCCCCUUUUUAUAGAUACAUGGAGUAAAUCAUGGCCAUCGAAUUAAAAACAGUUUGGACGCUCAGGAUUGCGCCACGUCAUCAGUCAACAGUCCACAGUUUGACCACGCGGAUGAACAGUAACACGGUUUGGUUGAAAAUAAUCCUGUGUGAUGCAUGCACCGUACGCGAGAUUUUUAGUCCACUAAUAUGCUGCCACGUCACCAUCAACAGUACAUAAGAAUUUUAGUCCAACAGGAUCGUGACACCUCAUCAGUCAAUGCUACAUCAUCGGUCAAUGCCACGUCAUCGAUCCGUCUAUGUGAAUAGUGCCGUGAACAGUAACAUAUACAAUACCGUAUACAUGAAUAGUACCGUACAUGUGAAUAGUGCCAUUUUUCCUUUUAUGCUCCUCCUAAGGUUUUCGAUCGUCCUGAGUUCAAAAGUGAUGUCCGUUUUGCCGUCUGAUCUCUCCUUUAUUGUGAAAUGACUAUAAUGCCCCUAAAAUACAUAAAAUACUUAAUUAAAAUAACACACACGUAAUUACAUAACAAGAAGGUUAAAUACAUAAAAGUAAGAGUUGUUAGUAAGACUUGAAAUGUAAAAUGAUGGUUUUCUCCUUUAUAAAUAUGUAUUUUCUAACACUCAACAUUGAACAUAAAAAGCCUUGGGAUAGUAGCAUAAUUUGCAUUAAACAUACUUUUAUCAUUUUGUUCUUGCUCUAGCCUAGUUUCAUGUGUAAGUAACAAUGCAUAUGCAUUAUCAUAUUCCAUUUUAGAUCCAGUUAUGAAAGUAGCAAUAUCACGAAAACCUGGUCCUAGUCCAUUCAGUAUGGUUAACAUAAGAUCUUUUUUUGUUAUAGGACUUCCAGCACUAGCAAGCUUGUCAGCUAUAGAUUUCAUUUUGAUGCAGUAAUCUUCAACAUUUAAUGAUUCCUUUUUAAGAGUAUUCAAUUCAUAUCUAAGUUGAAGAACUCUAACUUCAGAUUGCACACCAAAGUUUCUUUCUAGAGUUCUCCAAACAUCAAAAGAGCUAGUACAAUUUAAAACUAAGCUUAAAGUACCUUCAUUUAUUGACGACAAUAACCAUCCGAGUAGAGUUUGAUCCUGUGAUUUUCAAUUCUGAUAUUCUGGAUUAUCAAUUUUCUGAGUAUAUCCAUCAACUCCAGCAAGAAGGAGAUACUUCUCAGGUGUUGGUUUGUCUCAAGUGAUGAAGUCCUCCAACCGAUUGCCUCUGAUUGAAGCUAAAACUUGUGAACGCCAUAUCAGAUAGUUUGAGCGAUCUAAUUUGAUUGGAUUAGUAAAAGAAAAAUUGAUUUGAGUGUAUGGAUUUGCAUUAGUGAUUUGCUUAUUACUAGAGCUUGCUCUGUUUGGCUCUGAUACCAUGUUAAAAUGUUGUGUUGUGAAUUUGGCUUUGAUACGACUAACCAAAUUCUCCCCAAGACACUAAUUCUGUAUCAAUGGUUUGAGAAUUAACAGCACAGAUUAUCGAGCAACAAUCACACGCAAGAACCAAAGCAUUAAAGAAACAAUAUGACACCAAGUAUAAGUGGUUCAGCACCAAGAGGUGGUGCCUACAUCCACUGGAAACAAAGCAACAGUCUUUCACUAUUUAGUUCACAAAACAAUACAAGAAUAGGAAUUGAUUUACAAAGAACAAGAACUUGUAAACCCCUUUCUCUCUCUAUCUUCUCUCUACUCUCAGUGUUUCCCAAAUCAUGUGAAGACGAUGACAGAGCCUGCACCUUUUAACCUCUGUUUCUGGGUUGUUACACUAAUUACCCUUCCCGCCAAAACUAACCAAGAAGCUCCUCUCUCACGUGCUUGUCACAAGUUGGCAUAAGUGAGCUUGAAACGGCAAUUACAGAUGUCGUUCUUGAGCUAACGAGAUUUCAGCUUCACCACACGUGCAAACCACGUGUAUUACUUAAAGGUUGAAUGACCAAAGAGAGGAUGUCGGUUUUACUCUGAAGAACUUCUCAAGCGACAAGUCGGCUGAGACUGAAUCCUCUAAACGACUUGUAGCACUUGAGUUUCGAGUUCACUGUUCAUCAAUCUCCACCUUGAACUCAGAACUCUAGCUAUUCUUGUUUACUUCAUUCCCUUUCCUUUGCAGCUAAUCAGAAGCUGCAAAUUCCUGCUAAGCUCAAACAGAAGUUGAGCUUGGCAGAUGGCACAGCUUUAGUCAACAUAUCAGCUGGAUUUUGAUCAGUGUGAACUUUGAGCAUCUUCAUAGUUCCCUUUGAAACUUCAAGUCUAACAAAAUGCAGCUUUACAUCAAUAUGUUUUGUUCUUUCAUGAUGGGUCUGGUUUUUACUCAAGUGUAUUGUACUCUGGCUAUCACAAUAUACUUCAACUGUUUCUUGUUUUGCUCCCAACUCUGAGACCAUUCCCUUUAACCAUAUAGCUUCCUUAAAAGCUUCUGCAGCUGCUGUAUAUUCGGCUUCAGUUGUGGACAAAGCCACUACAUUUUGCAGAGUAGCUUUCCAGUUCACAGUGCAGCCUCCCAAAGUGAAUAUAAAACCUGUCUGAGACCUUCUUUUAUCAAGAUCUCCAGCGAAGUCUGAGUCAACAUACCCCACCAGCUUGUGCCCUUCCUGUUUUAACCCUCCAUAUAGCAGACCAAACUCCAUAGUGCCUUUUAGGUGCCUCAUUAUCCACUGGACUCCCCUCCAAUGCUCAUAGCCUGGAUUUGCCAUGAAUCUACUCACUAUACUCACAACAUGUGAGAUAUCUGGUCUAGUGAGAACCAUGGCAUACAUGAGGCUCCCAACUGCACUGGAGUAAGGUAUCCUUGCCAUUUUUCCUUGCUCUGCAUCAGUUUGUGGACACUGUGCAGCAGACAGUUUAAAGUGAUUUGCCAAAGGUGUUUGAACAGACUUAGAUUCAUGCAUCCCAAAUCUAAGCAACACCUUCUUAACAUAGCUCUGUUGGGUUAAAAACAUAAGCUUCCUUCUUCUGUCUCUUAUAAUUUCCAUACCUAAGAUCUUCCUUGCAGCUCCAAGAUCUUUCAUAUCGAAUUCACUGCUCAAGAGAUCCUUUAAAUGAUUGAUUUCAUCUAUGCUGUGACAUGCUAUAAGCAUGUCAUCCACAUACAGCAUAAGAUAGAUCAUCUUUCCAUCACCAAUGUCCCUAAAGUACACGCAACAAUCAUAAUUGCAUCUCUUGUAGGCAUGCUUUGUCAUAAAACUGUCAAACUUCAAGUACCAUUGCCUAGGAGACUGCUUUAAUCCAUAUAAAGAUUUCUUCAGUAAGCACAUAUGAUCUUCCUUACCAGACACCACAUACCCCUCAGGCUGUUCCAUUACAAUUUCUUCUUGUAAUUCACCAUGCAGGAAGGCUGUUUUAACAUCCAUCUGCUCCAGAUACAUGUCUUGAAUGGCAACUAAAGCUAAGAUAACUCUGAUGGAGGCAUGUUUCACCACUGGAGAGAAGAUUUCAUUGAAAUCAAUCCAUUCUCUUUGUGUGAAGCCUCUUGCUACCAGCCUAGCUUUAAACCUACUAGGUUCAGCAUCAGACAUUCCUUCCUUAACUUUGAAAAUCCAUUUGCAGCUAACAGUCUUCCUUUUCUCUGGUCUAACUAUCAGCUUCCAAGUUCCAUUUUUCAUCAGUGAUUCAAUUUCCUCAUCCAUAGCCUUCUUCCAUUUCAGCUUAUCCUUACUGUUUAUAGCUUCUUUAUAAGUUCUUGGCUCUUCCUCAUUUACCUCUUGUGCAGCUGUUAAUGCAUAAGCUAUCAAAUCUGCUACUGCAAACGUCUUAGGUGGUCUUACAUCUCUCCUCUUUCUAUCCCUGACCAACUGAUAAGAGUUAUUUUCAUUCUCAGCUGGCUCUGACUCCUGAACACCAUCAGAUCCAUCAGCAACCCUUUUUGUAUCUUCUUCAGUUUCUGAUUCAGUCCUAUCUUGUUCAUGGGACUCCACCUCAAACUGAACACUCCCAGGUCUUGUUUCUGAUCUAUAAUCUUUGGAUUCAGUGGAUUUGGAUUUGUUCAAGAUUUCUGUUUCAUUGAAAGUUACAUCCCUGCUGAUAAUGCAUUUUGGUGGCUUAAGAUCAAUGCACCAUAGCCUAUAGCCUUUGACUCCAUCAGGGUAUCCCAGAAACCUACACCUUAAAGCCCUUGGCUCCAAUUUGCCUUGUUUGACAUGUGCAUAAGCAACACAACCAAAAAUCCUUAAUUUUAAGUAAUCUGCAACCCUUUCAGACCAUAGCUCAAUAGGUGUUUUGCAUUCUAUUGUUGUGGAUGGACUUCUAUUUACCAAGUAACAUGUUGUAUUUAAGGCCUCUGCCCAGAGUGACUUAGGCAGCUUUGAGUAUAGCAGCACACACAUCACCUUGUCCAUUAAGGUCAUGUUCAUUCUCUCAGCAAGACCAUUUUGCUGAGGUGUGUGUAUGACUGUUUUGUGCCUCAUAAUCCCAUGUCUUUCACAGAAGUCUCCAAAGUCUUUGUUGCAGAAUUCCAAUCCAUUAUCUGUUCUGAGAACUUUUACUUUCAAGCUUGUCUGUGUUUCUACCAGAAUUUUCCACCUCUUAAACCUUUCCAAAACUUCAUCUUUAGUUUUGAGUGCAUACACCCAAACCAUCCUUGAAUAGUCAUCUAUUAGGGAUAAAAAAAUACCUACAGCCACCAAGGGAAUCUACUUGUGCAGGUCCCCACAGAUCAGAGUGUAUAUAUGCAAGCCUCUCCUUGGUAGAAUGAACUGCAGAUUCAAACUUGAGCCUGGAAGCCUUCCCUAGAAUACAGUCUUCACAGAACCCCAAAGAACUUAGCUUGUCACUUCCAAACACCCCCUUCUUUUGAAGCUCCUUCAAUCCUCUCUCACUCAUGUGCCCCAACCUCAAGUGCCAUAGUCUUGCUUUAUCUUCACUCUUCUCAGUGACACUUGCCUCUCCAACAGUUGUAUGUCCAUUAAGCACAUACAAACCAUUUUGCUUGGUACCUUUCAUUAUGACUAUUGAGCCUCUGAUAACUUUCAAUGUCCCAUUUUCAGCCUUAAUGACACAUCCAGUUUGAUCAAGCAUGCCAAUAGAUAUUAGGUUCCUUUUAAGUUCAGGAACAUGCCUAACCUGAGUUAGUUCUCUAACCAUGCCAUCAUACAUCUUAAGACUUACAGUCCCAAUCCCAACUACUUUACAAACUGAAUUAUUUCCCAUCAGCACCAUACCCCCAUCACAGGACUGAUAUGUAGUAAAGUAAUUUCUAUUUGGACUCAUAUGAAAAGUACAUCCAGAGUCUAGUACCCACUGACCUUGAGGUUUUUCUUUUGUGGCAAUGAGGACUUCAGCUGUCUCAAAGCUGGUUUCUUCUGUGGCUAUUGCUGCAUUUCCAGAUUUGUCUUUUGAUUCCUUUUGCUUUGUUUUUCUCUCAGGGCAAUCCCUCUUGAAAUGCCCUUCUUUGUGGCAGUAAAAACACUUCAAGUGUUUUUGCUUUGACUUUGAUCUUCCUUGCUUCUUUCCUUUGUACUCUCUUUUUUCAGAUCUGCCUCUUGCCAUCAGCCCUUCACUUGAUUCACUCUCUGGGUUAUCUUGUUUGUCUUUUAACUUCUUGGUACCAAGAGCAGAUUUAACCUCUUCCAAGGAGAGUGAUUGUCUUCCAUAUAACAAGGCAUCCACAAAAUGUUCAUAUGAUUUUGGUAAAGAACUGAUUAACAGCAAAGCCUUGCUCUCAUCACUCAGUCAUUCAUCAAUUGUUUCCAGUUCAUCACAAACCUUAUUAAACUCAUCUAUGUGUUCAUCAAGUGAUGCUCCUUCAAUCAUCCUCAGUGAGAACAUCUUUUUCUUGAUGUAUGGCCUGUUUGCUAAGGACUUUGUCAUAUACAAUUGUUCCAGUUUUGCCCAGACCCCAGCAACAGUCUUUUCCUUGGCAAUUUCCCUUAUCACUGAGUCACCAAAACUGAGGAUGAUGGUGCUUCUUGCCUUUUUGUCAAUCUCAGCCAUCUGUUCUGAAGUUCUUGAAGAAGAAGCUUCUGCAUUUUCAUUCUUGAUGACUGGAUCAAUGGCAUCUCCCAGACCUUGUGUGAUUAACAAUGCUUCCAUCUUGAUCCUCCACAUAUUGAAGUCAUUCUGACCCGUGAAUUUCUCAAGAUCCACCUUGUUGGUCAUUUCUUAAACCUUGAUACAGAAAAGAGGGCUCUGAUACCAAUUUGUUGUGAAUUUGGCUUUGAUACGACUAACCAAAUUCUCCCCAAGACACUAAUUCUGUAUCAAUGGUUUGAGAAUUAGCAGCACAGAUUAUCGAGCAACAAUCACACGCAAGAACCAAAGCAUUAAAGAAACAAUAUGACACCAAGUAUAAGUGGUUCAGCACCAAGAGGUGGUGCCUACAUCCACUGGAAACAAAGCAACAGUCUUUCACUAUUUAGUUCACAAAACAAUACAAGAAUAAGAAUUGAUUUACAGAGAACAAGAACUUGUAAACCCCUUUCUCUCUCUAUCUUCUCUCUACUCUCAGUGUUUCCCAAAUCGUGUGAAGACGAUGACAGAGCCUGCACCUUUUAACCUCUGUUUCUGGGUUGUUACACUAAUUACCCUUCCCGUCAAAACUAACCAAGAAGCUCCUCUCUCACGUGCUUGUCACAAGUUGGCAUAAGUGAGCUUGAAACGGCAAUUACAGAUGUCGUUCUUGAGCUAAUGAGAUUUCAGCUUCACCACACAUGCAAACCACGUGUAUUACUUAAAGGUUGAAUGACCAAAGAGAGGAUGUCGGUUUUACUCUGAAGAACUCCUCAAGCGACAAGUCGGCUGAGACUGAAUCCUCUAAACGACUUGUAGCACUUGAGUUUUGAGUUCACUGUUCAUCAUGCUGAAACUAAGCUGAUAGACUUGUUUGGAUGCUGAGAAAAUUUGAAGGAAAAUGAAUAUUCUAGAUCUGUAUUUUAUUCUUUCUUAUUGUUUCGAAUACAUCAAAAACUAAACUACUGAUCUCAGUCAAAUGUUUAUGUACACAUGUCACUAUACACAUGAACAGAACGAGAACAACAUUAACUGAAUACAGAGAAUAUAACAAACUCUCGCUGAGCUGGCACUAAUACUCUCAAUUGCAAUGCUGACUGGACACAAAAUCACACGUGCCAAAUGUACAGCUUACUUGUAUGCUUGAUGUGCUUCCUUAACAGUUGUAGAAAGAGUCGGUGAAUGUACAUAAUAAAACAAUAAUUAAUAAACGAAGAGUGGCGAACUAUAUAUGGAUCCAAAUAUUACAUAUAUAAUCGUAUUGUGAAGUAUGCUAAUCGAUCAGAUAUAAUACUCCCACCAUUGAAGGAAAUUAAGAAGCCUUCAAAUCAAAGGAAAUUAAGGAGCCUUCAAAUCAACAGGUGCUACUCUAGGGACAUGAACAGGAAACUCAUGAAUCUCAUCAAUCCAAGGAUUCUUCUCCUUUGCAGCAUUGAUAGUCCUCAAUGCUUGCCACACAGCACUGUUACACUUGAAUCCUGAUCCAAAUGCUAUCUGCCAUGUUCUGUCACCUUUUCUCAUUCUCCCCUUAGCCUCAGAGUAAGCCAAUCCAUACCACGAAGAGCUGCUAGAAGUGUUACCAAAUCUGUAAAGAGUCAUUCUGGAAGGCUCCAUAUGCCAUUGACUGAGCUCAAGAUUCUUCUCUAGCUCAUCUAACACCGCUCUGCCUCCGGCAUGGAUGCAGAAAUGCUCAAAAGCCAACUUAAAAUCUGGGAUAUACGGCUCGAUUUUCAUUUUAAAGACUUUUUUAGCAACCAAAGUUGCAAAAAACAAGAGUUUUUCUGACAUUGGGAGGACUAGUGGUGCCGGUGUUGUGAUAUUAGUCGUAAGGGCUUCUCCAGCGACAGCCAUGAGGUCCUUGGAGAGUGAAACUCCAACUCUUUUGGUGUCAUCUUCUCUUUGUAAGAUACAAUUGUAGCACCUGUCAUCAGCUCCCUUGUGGGUUCUGACAGUGUGGAUGAGUUGGUACUUUGAUCGACGGCGAUCGGAGGAUCGGUUAGGAUAGCGGCACCACCCAUGCGGAAGAGGCAAUUUGGUACAAGCAUGGACCUGUCGUUGCCAAAGUACCAGUUGAGUGUUAUGUUCUCCAUGCCCAUUACCAAGGCAUAGGAAUUGGGGUGCAGCUGUUCCAAUAACAUCAAAAAGUCUUAGUCCUAUAGCGUACAAAACAACUUGAAAAAUUGUUAAUCAUGACUGGAUCUAUUGGCUUUAAAAGUUCAACUUUAGCAGUUGGUAGAUGUUUGGCUGCUAGCUGUUGCGUUAAUAUUUCUCAGUUCAAUGCUUGGUGUCUAAGCUGAUCAAAUGCGCAUUAGGGUCACCAAAAUAUACUCAAACAAAAGGUCCACAUCCCACAAUUUACAUGACCAUAUUAACGUAACUUUAUAGUAUAUUAUAUAUCGUCAAGAUCUAAAUAUUAAUAAUAAAAGGAAGUGACAGAAAUUUAACCUGUAAAGGCUGUUUAGCAAGGUCUACUGAAAUAAGUGCAGCACUGCAACCCAUGCCACCAAGAUUAUAGCUCAUAAUUUUGCCUCUAAACUUGUAAUGAUUUACAAUCAUGGCCGACAAAGAUGGUGUUGGACAGAACCCACUGCAAUUCACCACAAGAAUCCCAAUAUCUUUAGCCUUUACGCCAGUUUUGAACAAGAGCUGAUUAAUGGCACCAAACAUGACCGUCUCAGCUUCCUUCCGAGCCUCAGCCAUACAAGGGUUCGGCGGGAAACGCAUCACGACCUCAGGGAAAUAAGUGUGCUGCCCCAAACCAGACCGUUCAAGAAUUUUCUUCUGAAAUGCCAAGUUCUCUUCCGAAAAACAACCAAUCUUCGCCGACCUCUCCAUGAAAAAUUCUCUAGUGCCCUGCCGCUCUGGCCCCGGCUUGUAACAUGCAAAAUCAACCAAGUACACUUUUCUCGGGCGGCUCAUGAAGUAAAGCGUGCCCAAAAACACCAACAGACUUGGACAUACAGUGACCGUCACGAGAUUGUACCUGAGUUGGCUCCAUAGCUGGACGAUAUCUUGUACUGAGAGAGUUGAAAGAUGAGCUGAAGAAAUUGCCAGAAUAGCUACAAGCAGUAAAUACAAUGCAUUGGAGAUUAGAUAAUGGUAACCAAGCUUCACGUAUUUGAGCCUAACGGAUAAAAGAAAAUUCGGAAGCUUAUUAUUGCUAUUUUCUCUUCUUUCAGCUUCCGGGUUUGGAUUCAGUUUCUUCUUUUGAUCAACAGCCAUUUUUGUUGGCUUUUUCACCAAAACACGGUAAUAGAAAUUGGCACUAAUGAAGGAAGAAUUAAUUGAAGUUGGAAGAGAAUGUGAAAAGUGUGAGUGAGUGAUGGGUUGCCAAAUGGGGAAAUAUGUGAGGAUUUAAAGGGGCCAUUCCGAAUUGGGCACCGUGGCCAAUUGGAGGAUACAACUGCACCAAAGAACUUUUGUAAGGAUAAAAAUCAUUUCCUGAUCUGAACUCUUGUGAGCCUUUGAAAAUCUCAUGUCAUGUUUAUUUAAAUGAUAGUGUAUGUGUAGAAUUUAAUUUUUUUAAUUUCUUUAUUUAUUAGCUACCAAUCACCCACAUAUAUUUUAUUCUGGAAGAGAUCAGAUCAUGAAAGUAUCACAAUCCCCUUUUUUUAAUUUUUAUACGACUGUUGCAUUGAAUUUGCACACUAGGAAAAUUUGCGGGAUUUUAUCUUCGUAUUUGACCUAAAUUUGGCUAUACAGUUUCGAAUUUGCCAUUUCUGUGGAGGGCAUAGCCGAAACCUGUGAAUCGGUGCGCGUGUCACGUGAGUAGAGUUGGAAUAUGACAGCUAAACUAUGAAGCUCACCAGUAGAACAUUACAAGACUUUCAAACCCUCCGAAGUUAUAUAUUUUCUUGUAGGUAAGUAAAAAGGAAGGAAAGUCAGUUCCAUUGAAAAGCAAUAGCAAAAUUGAGUGAAGAGAGUCUUGAGUACUCGGUGAUUUAGGCUAAUUAGAACUGGAUUCUUGACUUUUAGAUAAUUUCCUGAUUUUUUUCAAUUUGUUAAGUAAGCCUCGGUUACUGAAAUGACAGAUAUACAUUUUUUAGGCUUCAUUUGAUAUUGCUGCCCAGCAGCUUGCUACCAAGCAGAAUACUUUCAAACGGCCCUACGGUGUAAAUUAAAAAACUUCAAUUAUGACGAUCAUAAUUCAUUACCAUACUGAACAUAUGAGGAAUAGAAGUUAAGGAUCCAUUUGAGCACAAACAAUCUAUUUGUUUAGGAAAACAUAGAGAAUUGGGAACCCUUAUGUUAUUAGAAAUCAAAUUACAUGCAUACUAGGAAAGAAUAACAUCAUGACCCUUGAGUAUAGAUGUAUAAGCAUACCGCUAAUAUUUCAUAAAUGAACACAAACUCCUUUCAUUAUUGUUUACGUUUGUUUAAAAUUAUACAAGUGGUUCAUUCUUACAACAUUGGAGAUUUACUUAUAUAUUGGAUUAAAUUUUGGCGGCAUUGUGUAUAAUUAAAAACCAUUUACAUAUUUUUUUUGACAAUUCAACUUUAAAGCAUGAAAUUAAUGACAAUUUUAGUGUAUUUAUUAUCUAAUCUCCUUUAAAAAAUAAGAACACCUAUUACAAAUUCCACCAUCAAUGUUGAAGAGUAGUGACUUACAUUGGCUUUUUAAAAAGAGUUAUUUGAGUUUAUAAGUACGAUAGACCAUUCAACCUAAUAAAGUAAUCUUUUGGGUUGGGUAUCUAAAAAUCUUAGAUUAGACCCUCCCCUCUACUCUCUCCCUCUCUCUACCUCAACGAGUAGUAGUAGAGUCAUAUUUUAGUAGACAGAAUAUAGUGGUGGAAUAAUUCAAGUGUAUUGGAUGAAAGACUCAAAGUUCGGUAGUGAUUUUAUCUAAAAGAAAAUUAUUAAGUUAUGUCUCAUAUUAACUAAUAAAAAAAUUAUUUAAAUUUAUAAAUAGAAUAAAUUAUUUCACCCAAUAAAUUAAUGUAUUGAGUUGGGUGUUAGCAAGCGGAUGUUGGCAAGCAACCUGAAAACCCCCACCCAAAAAUCAUUUUUGAUGCAGACACCAAUUAAACUCAUGACAAUGGAUGUGUUGGUAAGGAUGAAAUUUUUUACUCUUAAGUCUUAUCUGUCUAGUUGGGGCAGUGACAGUCGUAGUACUAACUGCGCGACCUUAUGAUUGGGGCCGAAAUGCCUCUAAAGUGACCCAUGAUCCCAUGAAUUCACACGAACGUACUAUGGUAAGGUCUUAAAAACAGUAGAGUCAUCGAGGGACAGAAUUAGUCAAUUCUCAUCAAAGUUUUCUAUGGUUGUUACUGUUCCACUUGUCCGUUUUCUUUCUGCCCAUCAUGGUUUCUUUUGGCUUAUUCAUAUUUCAUAAACAUAUACUUGAGAAAGAUGACGCAAAUCGACCAACAGCUUUUUGAAUUAAAUGAAGUUCUUUAAUAUGUUACGUGAGCUAAACGUGUGUGCCAUCGCUCGGGUUGCUAUGCUACACAUUACAAGUUUCAUCAUGCCUCAAAUAUUAAUAAGAAACUAUAAAGUAAAAUAUUUAUAUCACCACAUUUUAAUUAAGAAAUAGAAACUUUAAUUGCGCAUAAAGGUUAAAGAAGUAACAAUUAGCACUAGUUAGCUGAAUUAAUGAAACGAGUGGAAAUAUAUUAUUUCAACGGAUACUUAAUUUAUUAUAUAGUUUUAGGAGUAAGAACGAAGCACGAAAUCAUUGAAUCCAAAAAUGAACUAGGGAUGGCAAUGGGGUAGGGUGGAGGUUGGGGGGCGGGGGUGGGAGAGGCCUACCGCAUUCCUUACUCCACUAAAAUUUUCGUCUCCAUUCUCCACCUCAUUCCCCCAAUAAAUCUAGUGGGGGUGGGGAUGAGAAUCCUCAUGUGGAGAAUGAUUUCUCUAUCCCCACUUUAUUCUCCAUUUACCUAUUUUAUAGUAGACAUAGAUACAUAAUUUCAGUAAAUUAAAAAUUAGAGACUUAAAAUAAAAUUAUCACCAUAUUAUAAAGUAUUUACAUUAUUUUAAAAAAAACUCUAAAAGUUUAAAAUAAUAUCUUAAAAUGAUAUCAAAACUGAAAAAUAUUUGAAAAAAACAGCACCAUAAAAGAGAAAAAAAAAACAUAGCAAUAGUUUACAGUCGAAAAAGAAUUAUAUUGUAGGGUUUUUUUUUUAAUCAUAUCCUAUUUAUAUUACAUAAAAAUAAAAAGAAAAUUUAUUAAUUGACAUUAUAUUUUAUAAAACAAGAAUUAUUAAACAAGAAUUAAAAAAAUAUGUAUAUAUAAUGGAGAUCGGGGUGGGGGUGGGGAAUACAAAAUCAAACUCCACCCCAUUAAGAAUCUGUGAUUAUUUUUCCCUCAUUCUCCAAAAAUUAUUCAAAAUUUUCUUUAUUUGGGGUAGGGCUCCAUGAAGCCCUGUAGAGGAUUUUACCAUCCCUAAAAUGAACAUUAGAAUUACUUGAUGCUCUGCUAUUAGAAUUACUUGAUGCUCUGCUUCAAGUUGUAUGUGUCUCUAAAUUUGCUCAUUCUUAUUGCUAUUGAGAGGUUAAUGAAAUUUACCAAAUAAUUUUAGAGUUUGUUUUUAAUUCUUGAAUUUUGAACUCGAUGAUCUUUUUGUAUCACUGGGUUACUUUAAAACAGAUUGAUGAUUGGCGUGACAUUGCGCUUCCUAAAGAGAUUUCUAAGGGACCUAGGGCUAGAACAUUGGGUGCGAAUUCUUUAGUAACGGGUUUCAGGAGUCAGUUUGAGGCAUUGGGCUCGAUUAAUAAUGCUUUCCCUCGAUCAGGGUAAGUUACAUAAGGUGCAUUCAAAUGUUAUGACAAAGCCAAGCCCAAUCAUCUGGACAUAUGCCUGGAUAUGAAUGCUUAAGUGCCUCUUCAAAGGAUGGAUAAUCCAAGUAAUGAUCAUACAUCCAAUGUCUCAUAUCAUGAUAUCUCCCACCCAUAAUGUUAUUCACACAUCGACGAACAUGUGGUAAGUUCAAAUCAAUCUCAAACUUUGACUGAAUUUAGGAAAAAAAAGAUAUCUCAGUUUAUAAUUAAAAAAAAUGACAGAUGAAGAAUAUUAAUAAUCAUAAGUACUUACUAAUAGUCGAUCAAACAAAACCUACCAAUUAAACUCUUUAAAUACCAAAUUCUAGAGUUGUAACAACACCUUGCACAAACUCUUGGCUGGGCAUAACAGGCUGACAUUGGGGAAUUGUAGAUGCGACAACAAUUUCUGCUCUUACACGUUUGGUAACUCUAUGUCCAGGACCCAUAUAGUAAUUAUUAAAAAUAUACAUUAGAGUUUAUUAAUAAUCAACAUAAAAAUAAAUCAAGAUAACUAUAAUUUUGUUAAAGAAAUUAUAACAUGAAAGAUCCUAUUACUGGGCAUAGAUCCUACAUUCAUUUGACUAUUGUCCACAAACUCAGGUUCUUCACCACGAAAAACCCAUGAAAAAUCCAUUAACUUUAAUUUAACAAGUUAAAAAUUGAAACAAAGGCCCACUUAAUAAAUAAUUAAAGCAAAACCCACUAAACAAAAUCAAACUCAACAGGCCAAUAUAUAAAAUAAAACUAAAUUUACUUGAAGAAAUCGUUGUCUUGAGUGGUGCCUUCCAAGUACAACUCUUCAAUGGCUUAAAGCUUGGGCAAAGAGAAUGAUUCCAAGGCAGGCAAACAAAACAAGCGAAGAGUAAAGUGGAAAUAUUCUAGAAGCAAUAUUUUAAUUAAGAAAAAAUUGGAGAUGGAAACUUUACUUCGGUUAGCACGCGGUUUAUUAAAUAAAGGGCGCGGAAAUAAAAAAAUUAAAAAGCCUCCCACAAAGUCAUGUUUGCUUUUAUAUUAUCUUUAUAUUUCAUUUAUUAAUUUAAUAUUUUUGUUAACCUUUCGUAACAAAAUUAAUCUCGUUGCAAAAAAUUCUGAGAGUACAAAACAAAUUUUCUCGCUAAUCACAACCUUUUGCAAUAUUUCAUUUGUUGCAACUGAUUCAAGUGUUUGUUGUGGAAAAACUUGAGCAACGAAACAUAUUUUGCCUUCAUUAAGCUUGUUAGGCAACAAGAACACUUUUGUUGCCAAAUAUAGCGUAGGGCAAGAAAAUAUUUUGUUGCCAUAUAUUCUAAUUUUCUUGCCUAUUUCACAUCAUUAAGAAGAAUAAAAUUUGUUUAGCUAUAGCGAUAAAGACUAAUUUUUGUUGCAAGAUAUGAAUUUUAGCAAUAAAGUAAGUUUUGUUGCAAUAGAAUUUGUAGCCAAUAUUCUAUUUUCUUGUGGUGAAAAUAAAUUACAGGGGAAACUUUUAUAUUUUAAAAUUUAAAUUUGGGUUUAAAAUUAAUUAUAAUGGAUCAAACCGAUGAAUUUCCUCCAACUGUACUCAAUCCACUUGAAUUUAAAUAAGUUGAGUGUUUUGAUUUUCACAGUUAGUUAAUUGAGCCUUUUUUUUUUCCAAACUAUAGUAUUAACGAAUAGAGUAGGUUGAAUUGAGUAAUAUGAAUUUAUAUAAAAAAAUAGUAAUAUUAUAAUAAGAAAUGACACUGGUAGUACAAAAAGUGUUGUUAUUUUGUAUAUUAUAGUAAUAUUAUAAUAAGAAUAGUAUCUAUUUUUUAUCUAAGUAAUUUAUUGAUAAUAUUCAAAUAUUAGUACUUAAUCUAUAUAUAAUAUCCAAUCUAAGAACAAUAAAAAUUCCGAAGAAAAUCUAGCAUGUGAAUUGUCAAGUGUUGAACAAUCAAACCUAUUUAUUUUUAGGAAAAUGCUUGGUGGCUGGAAACACAAGAGAAAGAUGAGAGAAACAGCAGCCCAUGCUGCUGUUUCAGCUCUCCUCAACUCUCGCUGUUUCCAUCCAAAAUAAUAAAAAAAAAUAAAGGAUAAUAGAGAAAGAGUAAAAGUAGAUCACUACAAGAAAUCUGACUUUCUAAGACAAAUGUUUUUAUGACAUUUGUAGAUUUUGUCAUAAAAUAAUACUUAUUGUGAUGAUCUUUUAAAAUCAUAGCAAAUAAUCUCGUCCUGGCUCAUGUUAUAUUUUGUAACGAAUAAUAUUCAUUUUAUGACCCAAUAAUUGGUCACUUAAUCAAAUGUUUUGCGACAAAUAUAAAAUUAGCCACAAAAAGACAUACUUUAAAUUCCCUCCAAAAUUGAUCAGUUUUUGACAAAAUAUCAUCUUUUAUGACAAAAAACAUGGUAGCGAAAUGUAAUUAUAAGUGCCAUAAUUAUUUCGUAACUAAAAGAGGGAUGUAAAAUUGAUCAAACCAUUUGUGACCAAAAAUAUAGUCUCCAAACCUAAUAUGGUUUUGAUUAAUUUUUAAGACCCUAUUUUUUUUAUCACAAAUAAUUACCUAUUGUGACAAAACUAAAAAAUAAUAGUUUAAAAUUUUUUCUUGAGUAAUUUUAUAUUUCAUGACUUUUUUUUUCAGAGACACUUUAUUUAGUAUUUGAUUCAUAUUUUUUUGGCAAACUUUACAACAUUGACAAAAAACAGAGAAUAAUAAUCAAUAUUUUUAAAUUAUAUUAUAUUUUGUGACCAACAAAUUUUUUAUAUGUAUUUUAUUAAAUAAUUGAUAAGAUAAAAUGUCAAUAAUUUUAUUAAAUAUCAAGAAAAAAGGUAUUUAACUGAUAGGUAUUUUAUUAAAUAAUACAUUUUUCUUGAAAUUUAAUUAUGCACAUUAUUUUUUAUUAUUUAGCUUCAUACAAAUUUUGUUUAACUAUGUUAGAUUAAUAAAAAUUAAAAUAAUAGCCUUAAAAUAAUUAACUUAGAUUAUUAAAAAAUGAUAAUAGACUUUUUUUAAACCAAUAAUAACAAACUUAUUAUAGCUUCUUUUUUAUUUUUUUAAAAGAAUCCUAUAAUAAUUAAUUAUGUUGGAUUUACAGAAAGAAUACAUAUUAUAUUGGAUAAAAAUUAAAAUAAAAGAAUAACUAAACUUAAAUAGAAUAUAAGUUUCUCUAAUGAAAUCGUGAAAUACAAAUAAAUCCCCUCCCACUGAUUCCCUGGCCAAUUUUGUUGUUAUCCAAACAAAACCAUUUAAUUUCCUCCCACUCUCUCCCAGGCCACUUCACUUUAAUUGGUUUUGUAUUAAAAAACUACCCAUCUUUAUCUUUUGUAAUCCUUUCCAAUUUAUGCGUGAGUGUGUGUGAAUGAUGAUAACAGAACAAAAACGCAUGGCUAUGGAGGCCACCUCACUUUGCCGCCGCCCAAAAGCACGCCACCCUCACCAGUCCACUCAUGCAUGCCAAAAUCAGCCACUCAGCAAAAUUCCUCUCAUCUCUCGUUCUACUUCGAAAUUGUGAGUAUAUAUAAACUCAGCCAAUUUAAUUUUGAUUAGUUUAAUUGUGAUUGGAUUAUGUGAAAUUCAUAUUUUUGUGUUUGGUAAAAUUAGGGAUUGAAAUUCUUAGAUCUAUUAUUUGAAUAUUUUUAUGCUUAUCAGGUGCUUGAUAAAAUUCCUAAGAGAAUCUAGUAAAAGAAAAACAUAAAAUAUAUGCAAAUAAAUGAAGGAAUUUGAAGCAAAGUUUAGUAGGUUUUGAGAAACUUUUGCAAAAUUAGGAUAUUAAGAUGAAUUUGUUUUUCAAUUUGAGCAGUGGGUUUAGGCGUGCUGAUAUCAGAUUUUUUUUUCCUAAUAUUCUUUCAUAAGAACUUUCGAAAAUGGGAUCUUUCUAAUUUUUGUUCACUUCAACUUGGUAUGUAAUUAAUCAUCUUUCUUUAUUUUUUUAAAGAUAAUUAUAGCUAGUAUUAAUAUAGUAAAAAGAGUUAAUAAGUUAUUCGAGUCCAGCCGAUAUAAUAAUAAGUUAAGCUACAAACUUUUAAUUAUAAAACACAUGUGUUGGUUGGAAGGACGAUUUUGAAGCUUGGGUUGCUAAAGUUUGCUGAAAAUAUUGUUGGAUUUGCUGGAUUUGCUAGGAAGUGUAGAUGAAGUGACUAAAUAAAGGUCAAAAAGCCUUUUUUUCCCCAAGUGGUCGUUGUAUGUUUAGUCAAAAUUAAUAUGCUUAUCUUCUUUUGUACUAGGAUAACAAAAAAGUAUGGAGAGAGUUUCCUCAAUUACUUUGUUUAAGAAAAUGUAUUAGAGUUAGCGAAAAAGGUUCAAGUAGUCUCCAUACAAAAUCUAAAUGUGUAAGCUAUCUUAUUUUUAUUUUUUGACUUAAUCUUUUAUUUCUUUCAACUUUAUAUUUAUUGUACUGUAAAUGUUGAUUUAUUGACUGCUUAAUAAUUUAAUUUAGUUCAAGUUUGACACCAACUGUUUAAUCGAUUAAGUUCAGAGCUUUGGAUGUAAAAUUUGUACAAGUGAAUCGAGGUUGAUUAUGUGCUUGUAAUCUUGUGAUUAUAUUGUUAAUUUGAAGUAAUAAUGAAAGCAAGUAUGUGCUUGUAAUCUCUUGUCUUUCAUUUAGAAUUUUUUCCAUUUUUUUAUUGGAUGAAAGAAUUGAUUGUGGAUAUGUUUCAUUGAGAAUUUAAUUAUUUUUGCAUUCUUACCUAAAUAUUUUUAUUUAUAGCUAUUUGCCUUGCUAUUUACUAUUCUUUCAUUUUGGCAAUAAGAUUUUUUUUUAUAAGAUUAUUCUACUAUACCAAUUAAGUUUUUUCUCAAGUUUUUUAUUAUUAAUAUUAUUUUUUAAUCAUGUAAAGACAAAUGAUAGAUAGAGAAAAAUGAUGUACCAAUAAUAGAUGAUCAAAUUGUGAAAUACUUUUGGAAAAAUCUUUAAUUUUAUAAAGAUAAAAAAAUGACAGGUACCUUCAAAGUCAUCUUCUACUACAACAUUGUCUUAGCACAACAAUGAUAAAAAGUUAAAAUCAAUGAAGAAGAUAGCAAAUUUAAGGAAGUUGAAGCAUUCAUGAAACAACAACCUGUUGUUUACUUAAUUAUGCUUUUGUGUAAUGUUACUUUUAUUUUUCUUCUAUGAUGUAAUCUUAUUUUUAGACUAUUGAUUUUUUACCUUUUUGAUUUUAGAUUUCUUUGUAAUGAAUUAUAUUUAUGUUAAUAAUAUUUUUCACUUCAAAGUUCUUUUGUCAUUAAAUUUUGAAUUCUAUGACUACAUAUUGUUAUUAAAUUUAUGUGAGACUAUAAAAAUUGUCCUUAAAAUAAAUUUGAGACUAAAUUAAUUACCAAUUGUAUUUGUAAAAAUUGUCACAAAUGAUAACUACUUGAGACGAUUGUGUAGUGUCGCGGUAUGUAAAUUGUCAACGAUUGGUAAUUGUAUCAUUGAACCUCUAAAAUAACGAUUUUUAGUAAUUAUCGAGACUAUAUUUACAUACUCUUGAGACAAAUAUUAUAGUCAUUCUAAAUCACCUAUUGAGACAAAUGUUUUAUUCACUAUAAAUCACCUAUUGAGACAAAUAUUAUAGUCACUGUAAAUCACAUAUUGUGACAAAUAUGAAGUGUCAUUGAUUGCAUUUUUUAAUCUCUAAUUUGAUCAUUUUGAACACUAUUUGUGACAAUUUUAACUUAAUUUUAAGACAAUGGUCUUUGUCACAAAACAUAUUUUUAACAUGACGAAAAUAAUUAUGGUCGCUAAAACCUUUUAAGACGGUCUUUCCGCGACUAACGUGUGACAGUUUAUUUAUCGUCAUAGAAAAUAUAAGGUGACUAAUAUGUUAUCUUGAGUGACUAAAUUUUUUGUAAUAAAAUAUCAUUUUUCUUGUAGUGGAUCUAGAACUUUCAGAUCCCUCCAGCUUAUCAUCUAGAACUUUCAGCUCCCUCCAGCUUAUCUUGUCACACAUGGAAUCAUUUUGCUGAAAUACUUGGCAUCCGCUUGCUAUUCUAAUUCAGCUUUCCUUCUCAAAGCAUUUUCAUAUUGCUUUACAAACUACUUCAAAUUUGUUUUUGAGUUAACAAACCCAUCAAAAAAUGCAUUCAUACUUUCACUUCACUGAGUUGUUGACAUUCCUACCAAAAAAUUAUCUUUUAAAUAACAUGGAACCUAACGAUUCAUCUCAUCAUAUAAACCAUUUAACCAAUCUGUGGACUAAAAUGAUGAAUCUAAAACUUGAGCAUAUUAAACGGCAAUGUUCAGAGCAUGUUUAAUUAGCUCAGGAAGUCACAAGCUCUGCAUGUGGCUUACUAAAGAUCAAAACGGCAAGAUUGAAGACGUUUUGACCAAGGCUUAAGUGAAGCAUGUGAAUGUGCAUGUGAUGGAAGAAUCAAGUUAGUUAGAAGCUAUUAAUCCAGGUGGCAAAAAUCUGUGCUUUCUGGGUUUUUAUUAGCUGGUAUAUAAGCUGAUCUUCUAGGCAGUUUCUGUAUCGAUCUGAGAGCAUUAUAGAGAGAGUUAAAAUAGAGAGAAAGUUUCGUCUUGUUCCUAGCAAUUAACUCUUGAGUUGCUUUGUAAAAGUCACUAGAAUCAUCUAUAAAUCUUGUUCUGUUGGCUUCUCCCGUGGAGGUAGAUUGUGCUUGCUAGCACAAUCGAACCAAGUAAAUUCUUUUCUUUUCUUGUGUUUGAUUUAUUCUCAAUUCUUGUUUUGAUGUGUUCUAAUCAUAGUCAUUUCGUCACAAAGGUUUCUUAAUUCUUAAAGUUUGAUUGGUUUGGGUUCAAAGCAUCUUUGUUGAUCUGAUUUACGAUCUUGGGCACUGAUUGAGUUGCUCAUCUAAUUCUAUAGCAUUCAAAUCACUACACUUGCUAUUAGAGCAGGGUUAACAAAUCAAGAUCCUAGUAUGGCUACACCAAAGAUCGACCUUGAGAAGUUUAACGGGAAAAAUGACUUUAACAUGUGGAAAGUGAAUAUGGAAGCUUUGCUGGUUACUCAGGGUCUUGGUGAUGCAAUUCAACCAGUGACCAAGAAUGAGGGAAAAGAGCUCUCUUCAUCAAAGACUCCUGAACAGGUUGCUGAGAUUGAUAAAAAGGCUAGAGGAACGAUAAUCUAUCUUGAGUCUUGCAGAUUCUGUUAUAAGGGAAGUGGCAAAAGAACCCACUGUAGCUUAUUUGUGGGCCAAACUAGAGAGUAUCUACAUGAAGAAAUCCCUGACAAAUAGAUUAUACAUAAAGAAAAGGAUGUUCACAUUAAAAAUGAUGAAAGGCACAUCUUUAGAUGACCAUCUUGAUGAGUUCAACAAAGUGUGUGACAUUAUGGAAACUAUUGAUGCAGCCCUUGAUGAUGAGGAUGAAGCCCUUCUGUUAAUAAGCUCUCUACCAAAAUUCUAUGGGAAUUUUCUUGAUGCCUUAAUGUAUGGAAGACAUACACUAUCUCUGGAUGAAGUUAAAUAAGCAUUCAACACAAAGGAAUUGUAGGGUAAACAAGAUCAUCUGGGAAAUGAAUCAGGUCAAGGCUUAACAGCAAAAGCAAGAUCAGAGGGCAAGAAAAAGAAGCAAGGCAAGAACAAAGAAAAACCAAAAGAUUUGAAGCGUUUCUUGUGUCACAAAAAAGGACACUUCAAGAAAGAUUGUCUAGAAAAGAAGUUUAAGAAAGGGCAGAAUAGAGGUGCAGCUGUAGCUAAAGAAGAAGGCUAUGAAUCUGCUAGAGUGUGCAUUGCCACAGACAGUAAAGAUAAAGGUAAAUGGGUUCUUGACUCAGGGUCUACUUUUUAUAUGAGCCCAUAUAAGAGUUACUUUAUAGAAUAUUAUGAUUAUAAUGGUGGUAGAGUAAUUAUGGGGAAUAAUGUUGUGUAAAAUCAUGGGAAUUGACAAUGUUAAUCUUAAGCUACAUGAUGGAACCAUUAGAGAGCUGAGACAAGUUAGGUAUGUGCUUGAGUUGAAAAGAAAUCUGAUUUUUUUGGGAAUGCUUGAUCAAAUGGGGUGUAGUGUUAAGAUUGAAUCAAGGGAACUGAUGAUUGUCAAUGAUUCACAGAUUGUUAUGAAAGGUAGUAGGAAAAAUGGGGUGUUCAUCUUAGAUGGGGAUGUAGUUAAUGGUGAAGCUGGAGUGUCAUCAGCUGAUAGCAUUGAUAAAAUCAAAAUAUAGCAUCUAAGGUUAGGGCACAUAGGAGAAAUGAGUCUUAAAUAACUUGAAAAACAAGGUGUAUUAGGGAAUGAUAAGCUUGGAAACUUGGAUUUAUGUGAAGAUUGUGUACUAGGCAAAUCAACAAUGACUAGUUUUAAAAGAUCAGUACAUAAGUUCAAGGAUAAACUGGAGUAUGUCCAUUCGGAUUUGUGGGGGCCUGCUCAGUAGAUAUCUCUAGAAGGUAAUAGUUAUUUCUUAUCAAUCAUUGAUGAUGUUUCCAUAAAGGUAUGGGUCUAUAUCUUGAAGAAUAAAGAUCAAGUGUUUGAUAAGUUCAGAGAGUGGAAGAGUUUGGUUGAAAAUCAGAUUGGAAAGAAGGUGAAUAAACUCAUAACAGACAAUGGCUUCGAGUUUUGUAAUCAAAGGUUUGAUAACUAUUAUGCAGAUAAGGGAAUUAUAAGACACAGAACUGUCAAAUUGACACCCCAACAGAAUGGCUUAGCAGAAAGGAUGAAUAGGACACUCAUAAAGAGAGUAAGGUGCAUGCUUAUUCAAACAAGGCUUCCCAAGUCUCUGUGGGCAGAAAUACUCUUAACAGCUUGUCAUCUGGUCAACCUCAGUCCAUCUUCAGCCAUAGAUUUCAAAACACCUUAUGAAAAAUAGACUGGACAGCCAUCAAACUAUGGAGAUCUGAAAGCUUUUGGUUGUACAACCUAUGCUCAUAUAAGCCAAGGAAAGCUAGCUCCUAGGGCUUUAAAGGGCAUCUUCAUAGGCUAUCCAGAAUCUGGUGCACAGAUGUUAAUCCUCAAAAAAGCAUAAUUAGAAUCAAGGUGGAGAAAUGUGGACUAAAAUGAUGAAUCCAAAACUUGAGCAUAUUAAACGGCAACGUUCAAAGCAUGUUUAAUUAGCUCAAGAAGUCACGAGCUCUGCAUGUGGCUUACUAAAGACCAAAAUGACAAGGAUUGAAGACGUUUUGACCAAGGCUUAAGUAAAGCAUGUGAAUGUGCACGUGAUGGAAGAAUCAAGUAAGUUAGAAGCUAUUAAUCCAGGUGGCAAAAAUCUUUGCUUUCUGGGUUUUUUAUCAACUGGUAUAUAAGCUGAUCUUCUAGGCAGUUUCUGUAUCGAUCUGAUAGCAUUAUAGAGAGAGUUAAAAUAGCGAGAAAGUUUUGUCUUGUUCCUAGCAAUUAACUCUUGAGUUGCUCUGUAAAAGUCACUAGAAUCAUCAAUAAAUCUUGUUCUGUUGGCUUCACCCAUGGAGGUAGAUUGUACUUGCUAGCACAAUCGAACCAUGUAAAUCCUUUUCUUUUCUUGUGUUUGAUUUGUUCUCAAUUCUUGUUUUGGUGUGUUCCGAUCAUAGUCAUUUUCAUCACAAAGGUUUCUUAAUUCUUAAAGUUUGAUUGGUUUGGGUUCAAAGCAUCUUUGUUGAUCUGAUUUGUGAUCUUGGGCACUGAUUGAGUUGGUCAUUUAAUUCUAUAGCACUCAAAUCACUGCACAAUCAUUAUCACAUAAAUUAUAUGUCAUAAUCAUGCCAUGUCAAGCUUCCUUGAACACAGUAGGGCUUAAUGAGUCAUAAACAACUGAAAGCAAUGAAGCAAUAAUACCUUAAUGUUCUUUAAAAGCCCCUAACUUUUUAAGCAUCUUCUUCAUUAUAUGCCAUAAACAACAUCGAUGCCUAGUCGUAGGAAAAGCAUUCUCAAUUGUCAUUUGCAUUGCUUUGUCUUGGUCUGUAAUGAUACCAAUUGGCGGAGAACCGAACAUACAUAAUAACCACGCCUCAAAUAACCACGUCAAUGUCUCUAUAUCAUCGUGUGAAAUCAAUCAACAUCCUAACAAAAUAGACUAGCCAUGGUGAUUAACUCCAACAAAAUGAGCGAAUGACAUAUCAUACUUGUUGGUAAAAUAUAUGGUGUCAAACGUGAUAACAUCUCCAAAAUAUUUAUAAGUUGCUCUACUCUUCGAAUCUGUCCAAAAUACAUUCUUUAAUCGAUCAUGCUCAUCUAAAUCAAUGCUAAAAAAAAAAAAUCAUUGCAUUCAACUUGUUUUUUCUGGAAAUACUUAAGAAUUGCCAUAACAUCCCCUUCUCCGAGCUGUAAUCGUCUUGUUUUAUCAACAAAAUUUCUAUAAUCUUUUUUCUAAGAACGAGACAUUUUUAUGCCCACCAGCUUCAACAACAAUAAAAUUAAAAUUUUGGACAAUGUUAAUUCCUGCACAUUCAUUCAUUUCAAUAUGUUUUUUUACACUUGUACUAAUUCUACGGUUACAAGAGAAGUAUCUUGUUUUGUCCGGGCUCAAUCCGUGAUUGUGUUGAAGGUUUAAAAUUCGAAGAACCCAUUUUCCAUCUUCAUUUCGACAACCUCCAAUUCUAGCUUCACAACUCAUUUUCACAAUAGGUUUCAGCUUCAAUGGAUUAGUAGAUUUAUUUUUCGACUUACCGCUACGGCCACAUACAAAUGUCGCAUAUUUUAUAUUUCCAUCAAUCCCUUUUUUAAUGGUCAGCUUCUUCAUAGGAAACCCUUCUUGUUUAUCACAGGCUUUGUAAAACUCAAACAUUUCCUUAUGGCUAUCAAAUAACAUUACAAGAGUUGGCUCAUAUUUUUCUGGUUUCACUUCUUUAAUUGCUUGCUCAUUUUCUAAAUUUUCUAUUUCUACAAAAUAAUUAACAUUUGUAUUAAAAAUAAAGAAUGAGUUAUUAUAAAUUUUUUGCAAAAUUUUUGUCCAACAAAAAUUUAAUUCAUUAAGUUUGUAGCAAUUUAAAUUAAAAAAAAAUUCUAAAUAAGCCAAAAUAUAAAUCACCCAAGACCAAAUCAAAAUACUCACUAAAAAGACCAAAUAUUUUCAAUGUAAAAUCGAUAUAACAAAAAUCAAUUAUAAAAAUAAUGCUUGGCUUAGCAUCAAUUUAUGAUAGAAUCAAUUUAAUUGAAUACCCGAUCAGCUACCUAGCAUGGCUCAUUCUAUUCAAGUAUAUAAUAUAAUCAAUUUCUACUCUGACAGGGCUAUACAAUUAUAGAAAAUGCUAGGCUUAGAAUCAAUUUAUGAUAGAAUCAAUUUAAUAGAAUCCCUCUGUCAGCUACACAACUCAAUCUAUUCAGAAAAUUAUGUACGAGUGUAUGAAAUAGUACCUAUCGUCGUCAGUGGUCGCAUCGGUGGCGGUCUUGUUGUCGGCGACGGCGUUCGAGAGAAGGAAGAAAAUGACGACGGAAGGAAACGCUAGAGGAGUCUGGAGGGAUAAGGUGGAGGGAGCUAAAAGUUUUAGAUCUACUUUCCCUCUUUCUCUGUUCUCCUUUAUUUAUUUAUUUUUUUUUUAUUAUUUGGAUGGAAAGCGCGAGAGUUGAGGAGAGCUAAAAUGGCAGCAUGGACUGCCGUUUCUCUCCUCUUUUUCUAUCGUUCUUCUAGAUGACAAGCACAACUCUUAUUUUUAACCAUUUUUAUUUUUUAAUAAAAGAAAGGUCUUUUCAACUUGCCUUUAAAGUUGACUUUAACUCUACUUCUCUACGCUUUUUAUUCAAAAUUAAAAUUACACCAGAGAUUGUGAGAGAAGUGGUUCACAAAAUGUUGUAGAAGCUUAAUUUUUUCUCACUUAUAAAAAAUAAAUGAGUAAAUGUAAUCUUUUUUAUUUUGAAAUAUAAGUAGAGUAGACAUCUCUAAAAUAUUAAAGAGGCUUAGAAUUUGAAUAGUACUAGAUAAAAUUUAAUGUUUGUAAUCUGCACAAUAAUCUCAUGUAAUUUUUUUUAAAAAAAUCACACUAGAAUCUCAGUAAAAUUUAUUUCUCUCUCUUCUUUUUUUUUAAUUUUUUGUAACUUAUAAGAUAUGUUUCGUUGACUGGUUUGAGUUGAAUUUUUUUUUGCCCAACUUGAUUAAUAAUAAUAUAUUCCCUCGUUUUGUAAUGGUUCACUAAAAAUAAUAAUAAUAAUAAUAAUAAUAAUAAUAAUAAUAAUAAGAGAAAUUAUCCACCGACCAUCUGUUCUUUCUAGUUUUUUCAAAAAUACACAUAUCUUUUUUUUUUUGGUUGAUUUCCACUAAAAGUUACAUUUUCUUGCACAUUUUCACUUCUUUUUGUAUUCUAUUGCUGAUGUCAUAGGGGUAAUAUUGUCAUUUCACCUGCAUAACAAAAAUCAACGUCAUUUAAAUGUAGUAGAAAGAGAAAAAAAAAAGGUAAAAAUAUUUCAGAUUAUUUUGUUUAACUUAUUAUCUAAUUUCUAAAUUGCAAAGAAAAUUUGAAGUAAUUUAAUUUUUUUCAUUUAAUUAGGGUGAAAUAGUAAUUUUACAUUAAGAGGUAAAAUAGUCAUUUUGUUAAUAUUCUAUUAACUUCUCUCACAGAGUUUAGACGGCAGCGGAAAAAUGAUACAUUUUGUAACUUCAUGUGGAAAUCAGCCAAAAACAAAUAUGUAAAAGCUCGUUUCAUCCCUAUAUUUUAAGAUUAGUACCCAUUUAGUCUCUAUAUUUUUUCAAAUGCAUAAAAACAUCAAUAUUCUUAAAUUAUUGACAUCCCUGCAGUUACGAUUUGUUUCUUUUGACUUACUUUUAUAAUAUUACCCUUUUACAAUAAUAUUUCUUUUUAUGAAAUUACUAAAAGAAAAAAAAUUAAAUUAUCAAUUUAAUCCCAAAAAUAAAAUAAAAACAAAAAGAAUGUAUAUUAAUUUUUGUGAAAGCUUACAUGUGUCCAAAAAAAAAUUUAUUGUAAAAAUAAUUAAAUUACCUUUUUUUGGACAUUAUUAAAAAAAAAAUUAAUAUAUUAACUCCUGAGCAGUGUGUUCCCAAAAAGUAACAUAUAUUAAUUUUGUUUCUAUUUUAUUUUUUGAGAUUAAAUUGAUAAUUUUUUUCUUUUUACUAAUGCCCAAAAAAAAUUAUUGUAAGAGAGUAAUAUUGUAAAACUUAAGUCAAAAGCAACAAAAAGUAAGAGGAAAUGUGCUAAUAAUUUAAUGUCGGGGAUGUUUUGAGGUAUUUUAAAAAAUUUAGGGACUAAACGGGCACUAAUCUUAAAAUAUAGGGACUAAACGAGAUUUUGCUCAAAACAAAUAUAUGUGUAUUUUUUAAAAAAGUCUGAAAAAACAGGUGGUCGGUGGAUAGUUGCCCUAAUAAUAAUAAGGGAAAUUAUCAGUCAUAUACCCUUAAAUGACACCAGUAUCAAACGUGCUACAACACUUUUCAAGUGUAUCACUCGCAUACCCUAAGUUGAAAAAACACUUCUGCCGUCCACCAAUCCGUUAACUGCCGUUUGCGAGCGCUGACAUCAUAAGGGUAAUCUAGUCUUUUUUUAAAAACGACAUGUCAUUCCAUUUACCUAGUAAAAAACGACAUAUCAUAUGAUAUAUUUUGAUAAAAAUGACAUGUCAUCUCAUUUAUCGGAUAAUUGUUAAUAAUUGCUAAAAAAAAAAGCUACUUUACAACCGAAUCUACUCCUCCAAAAUUAACCUAAAUUAUUGAAGAUCUACUCCUUCAAGCUCAAACUUGAAUUUUUUAUGGUAUAAUAUGUAUAAUUGUAAAUAAUAUGUUGUUAAUAAUUUUUUAUGGUAUAAGAUGAAUAUUUUUUAUGGAUAAUUGUUAAUAAUAUGUACCAUUAAUAAUUCAUAUUUUUUUAAUAAAAAAAUGUAUUGUUAAUAACAAAAUAAAAAAAAAUUGUGUAUUGAAAAUUUACAUUAAUUUUCAAGGUAAAUUUAUUUUUUUACCUCAUUUUGAGUUUAAAGGGUAAAAUAGUCAUUUUGUUCAAAUUCUGUUAAGUUCUUAACGGUAGUAAAUGGAAAGGUGGACGCCAGAACUCUUUUGUCAACUUAGGGUAUACGAGUGAUAUAAGCAAAAAGUGUUGUAGCACGUUUGAUACUGGUGUCAUUUAAGGGUAUAUGACUGAUAAUUUUCCUAAUAAUAAUAAUAAUAAUAAUAAUAAUAAUAAUAAUAAUAAUAAUAAUAAACUUGUGAGAGGAAUUUUUGAAAAAUUAAGGAGAGUUAUGUUAUGUCGGUUGCAUUUAGAGAAAUUCUUAGUGACACGGUUCUUACGAUGUGAAUCUAAUAAAUUAAAUAAUCUCACCAUAUUAUUGAGAUUCAUCAAUAUAUGGCCGCCACUUUGAGAGGAAUUUUUCACAAAGUGAGUUAAUGUGAAUGAUAAAAUAGAUGUUAUUAAUUUCAUUAGCGUAAGUAAAGUUCUACUGAUACAAGACGACUUUCAUGUAAUCGGCUAUAAAUAAACACUUGCACAUGCAGUAACUCUAGGUUUGGAAAAAGGAGAGUUAUCUUUUGUUCUUAAUUUUUGCAUUUGGAGAAAUUCUUAAGUGACAGGGUCCUUCAUGUGAAUUUUAUGUCUGAUCUAAUUACGUACACAGUGCCUUUCAUAAAAAGGGGAAAAAAAUUACAAAACAACAAGCUUGUAUUUUAGUGACGAUCAAGAGCACUUGAAUGAACCGAACCAAUAAAGCUUCUGCUCACAGCGUUUUCUUUACAGAAAAUAUAUACUAACCCAAUAAUGGUAGAGAAACAUGAAUUCUUACUGCUGCAGACUCGCACCCAUUCUUUUAAGCUUUGUCUAGAGAGUGAGAUAUCACCUACCAAGAUAAAUUUUUUUAGGAAUUUUUUUAAUUCAAAAUUUAGGAUAAUUUUGUUAUUAAUUUCUCUUAUUUACUUUUGUGUGGGGUUGAGAUGGGAUUGGAUUGGGCUCUCUACCAUUAUUCCUAAUUAAUAACUAUCAGAUUAAAAAGCGAUGACACAUUCUUAUUCGAUUCAUAAGUAUAUUGAAACCCAUGCAUAUGCAUUUAGGAAAAUACCAUUUGAACAGCAACAAGACAACAGGAAAAUAGAAAUGAGUCAAAUGACAACAUUAUAAUAUGAACAACAUUGUCAUUUCGUAUGCUACGGUGUUAUUAUAGCAUGAACAGUACUUAUAUUUCUAUCUUUCUAUUAUCUUGCCCCUGUUCAAAUAGUAGUUCUCAUAUAUUUAACGUAUUAAAGUUCGUCAUACAUGUCAUUAAAGAAUUUGACAGAGGUAGUUGCUCUCUCUCUCCGCCCUUUAAAUUCUAUUCACUUCCGAAUUCUGCAAGCCAUCGCUUUUGCUUACACUUCCCCUUUCUUUUGUUGGCUUCCAUUCAUAUACACUAGCUUCCGCUAGAAUCCUCCUUAAGUUAAUUUCCGAACUUUUAUCCACACACACACACACAUCUAAAUGAUUUUCUUAGUGGCUUUUUGGUUUGUUUUUGGCUAUCAAAUAAUGGCCACUGAUCAAGAAAAGAAGAACAAUCUUCCCAAUUCUUCCUAUCCAUCAAGCUCAAAUAUGUGAAGCUUGGUUAUCACUAUCUCCAAUGCUUUAUAUCUCUUGCUUGUUCCACUCCAAUGCAUUGUUUUGACUCAUCUCUCAACUUUAACAGUUGAUGAUUUCUUCGAGCUAUAUGGAACGAGCUCAGGUUCAACUUUGGGAUACUGCUUUUAUGCCUGGUUUCUCUUGUGUUUAUAUCGACCGUUUACCUAAUGAGUCGCCCGAGAGAAGUUUACUUGGUGAACUUUGCUUGUUACAAGCCUGAUAAUCCAUCUCAAAUGUGCAGCGGAAAACUUUUCAUGCAAAUAGCGAGCAAAACUGGAAUUUUUUUAAAGGAAACUUUAUCCUUUUAGAAGAAAAUUCUAGCGAGAUCCGGGAUGGGGAAUAUGGCAUACGUCGCAAAAGCCAUGUUGGACAAGCCAGCGGAUAAGAAAAAUAUGGCGGAGGCGAGGAAGGAGACUGAGUCUGUAAUAAUCGGAGCAAUCGAUGAGCUCUUGGCCAAAACUGGGGUGAAGCCUAGAGAUAUUGGAAUUCUUGUGGCGAACAGCAGCUUGUUUAAUCCAAUGCCAUCUUUGUCAGCGAUGGUUGUGAAUCACUACAAGCUUAGAGGCAACAUUUUGAGCUAUAAUUUUGGUGGUGUGGGUUGCAGUGCUGGUCUUAUUUCUAUCGACCUCGCCAAACAGCUUUUGCAGGUUUGUCUUCAUUAUUUCUGUUAUUUACAUUCCUCUAGUCUCUCAGAGUUCACGAUAGUAAUUAAUUGAUCUCUUCUCAGGGCUAUUUAGAACUAAUGAAAUCACGUGGGCCAUCGGUACAAUUGGUAGAUUUUUUUUUUUCCCCUGAUGAGUACGAAUAUUGAUUGCCUUCGAACAAAUGUCUCAGUAUAUGAAUGUAUAGAUCAUCCAGGCUUUUUCACACAACAGUUUAAUGCUAUGCGGGUACUUGGCAUAGCAAACGUAAAGUCUCCUUCCUAUAUGCGUAAAGGACAGUAAAUUUUCAUUGAUUAAUUAUUAGUUAUUUUUAGCGUGAAUUAAAUUUCCUAUAAGAAUUUUUUAAAAAAAAAUCUGAAAAAUAAUAUAAUUUUAGAUGACCGGAUUUAAUGUCAAUUUUUUUUUGGGAAAUUUUUAUUAAUUUUGAAGCCACGAGAAUAAAAUAAUUUUCAUUGUACAUAACAGUUGCCACCCAACUCUGUGCUCAAGUGGUGAGCACAGAGAACAUCACUAUGAAUUGGUACGCUGGCAAUGACAGAUCCAUGCUUCUCAUAAACUGCUUAUUUCGAUUGGGUGGAGCUGCGAUCCUUCUCUCCAAUCGAUCAUCUGAUCGCCGCCGUUCAAAGUACGAGCUAGUUCACACCCUCCGCACGCACAAGGGCGGCGACGACAGAAGCUAUAAUUGUGUCUCACAACAAGAAGAUGAGUCCAAAAGAAUUGGAGUCAAAAUCUCAAAAGACCUGAUGGCCGUUGCUGGAGAAUCCCUUAAAACUAAUAUUACCACACUGGGACCGUUAGUUCUACCAAUGCCUGAGCAACUCUUGUUUACCGCAACUUUAGUUGGAAGAAAGAUCUUUAAAAUGAAAAUCAAGCCCUAUAUUCCCAAUUUCAAGUUGGCUUUUGAGCAUAUCUGCAUCCGUGCUGGAGGGAGAGCUGUGCUGGAUGAGGUCGAGAAGCAUCUCAAACUCAAUGAAUGGGUUAUGGAGCCUUCAAGAAUGACUCUACAGAUUUGGGAACACUUCAAGCAGUUGUUUGUGGUAUAAAUUGGCUUACUUUGAGGCCAAGAGAAGAAUUCGGAAAGGUGACAGGACUUGGGAGAUAGCAUUCGGAUCAGGAUUCAAGUGCAACAGUGCUGUGUGGCGUGCGUUGAGGACAAUCAAUCCUGCUCAUGAGAAGAAUCCUUGGAUGGAUGAAAUUGAUAACUUUCCAGUUCACGUGCCAAAAGUUAUGCCAAUUGAUUUUUAAUGGUUGGACGCUGGGGAAGUUUAUGCCAAUUUAGUAACUAUUUAUGUAUGAUUUUGUUGUAAUAAUUAAUGCUGCAGUCUUAUAGAAGUGGUGUAUCUCUUUCACAGUUUAGUAGAAUGCAUGUAGAAUUUUAAAUUUCAAUAAUUCUAAGAUCUCCUCCUUAAUUAAGUGAUCGCCGAGUAUCAUGUUGAUGGGUUGAUCAAAUUGUGAUUGACACUGGGAAAUUCUAGAACAUUAACUUAAAAGGAACAUAUC
RNAcentral lists this long non-coding RNA (68721 nucleotides) under Citrus maxima (pomelo). Its description in RNAcentral is "long non-coding RNA (CMAX_LNC003623)". The stretch from base 36958 to 37064 matches the Rfam family "Plant small nucleolar RNA R71". Lineage: Eukaryota; Viridiplantae; Streptophyta; Magnoliopsida; Sapindales; Rutaceae. The record is from RNAcentral.